Molecule: long non-coding RNA, 53880 nt
Filed under: Triticum aestivum (bread wheat)
Lineage: Eukaryota; Viridiplantae; Streptophyta; Magnoliopsida; Poales; Poaceae
Description: long non-coding RNA (TAES_LNC004664)
Source: RNAcentral
UUUGUUUUUGAAACAUCAAGUGGCCAGAGACUCGAAAAAUUAUUUGCCCAUUAGUGACUUGUCAGGGCGGUGGAUUUUAGUUUGUACGAUAAUGCUGCAUCCACCUAAAGUAACGAAAGUUCUCACGUAAACUUCCUAGUAAUUCCCUCUUCGUAGGUGCAACAUUACUCCUAACAUUUGUAAUAUCAGUUUGAAACUUGUAAUAUUGCCGUGUCCUAUUCCUGCAUCUUCAAAAUCCCACGAAUCAAACAGGUCCUGAGUUGGUGAUGAUGUUGUGCCUGCCAUCUUUCACCAAUAGCCAUCGGAUCUAGAUCUGACACAUACAAACCAAACUUCUCCAAUUUUGCAAAAAGAUGCCCGCACUUGUUCCCUAUUUACAAACAGCUCCUUGUCUCUCACAAUCAGCCUUAUCUCCUCCCCACCACAUCUAGAAGGCCAUGGAAAAAUCUGGCGCGAUGGCCGCUGCCGGCACCGUCCACCCCCCAAUCUUGGUGUUCCGUGCAAUGCACGGGCAUCUACGCACGGGAAAUUAUGUCGAACACGGCUAGUUGUAAGCAGGCUAGGUCUACAGCCAUGAUGAUAGUGACUGCAGACGGUGAGGCUGACUAUGGUAUGCCGAACACGGCGCCUAUACUCAGGUGUCAUCUCCGGCGUAGGGUCUUGUCACUUCACUGGGAGGAGCAGCACGUAAUAAUUUGACCAACGGGUAGUACAGUGCUACUACAUUGGUAGUACUACUACUACUAGUACUAGCACCACCGUCUGGAUUUAGUAGUACUACCACGUCCAUCUGGAUUUAGUAUUUGACUAGCAAUAUCUAGUAAUGCAUGUCACAAAAAAUGUACUGCUCCCUCUGUAAAUAAAUACAUGGUGUAUUGUUUUAUUCCUAUCGGCGAGAUAACUUUAUGUCUUUUUCUACUUAAUAGGAUUACAUGCAAUGAACUAACCACUGCAUGUGAUGUUUGGUAGUCUCAAGUCAUUGAAAGCAUGCACUACUGCACCUGCCUUUGGGUGCAUGACACGUGGGCCCAACGGGUGGCUGGCCAACCUGUCAUACAGCCAAAGGAAGGUGCAGUAGAGGGGCGAGGAGUAGAUGGCCAACACGCACGUGAAUUCAACGGAGUCUGCACUUCUCAUAUAAAGGCUCCCGCCACUCCAAUCUACGAAAUCCUACGCACCUACGCACCCAAGGGCAAGAGUGAUCACUCCAAUCGCAAGAUCAAUUGACUAGAAGCUAGACCCAUGGAGGCGAUGAGCGCGAGCAUCAGCCGGCUAUGCCAGAUGGUCCACGACGGCGGCUUGUGGCCCGGCACCGAGGAACAUCUCCAGGUAGUGCUUGAGGCCGCCAGGGCUAGGGGCCGCUUGGACGACAGCUUCGUCUCCUUGUUCGACGAUCGUCGGCUUCCUCGACAAGUUCACCGUCAUCAAGAAGCUCGCGGACGACCUUGACGUACCCCUCCAGCCCACGCGCCCAGGCUCUGUGAUGCCUGCCACCCUCAACGGCCUCUAUGGUGACAACCUCUUCGACGCACUGGUGGCCCUGCGACUUCCCGCCAUCGCGCCGGAGAAUGUCCACCUCAAGGUCGCGCUCGCCGCACAGCGCCUGGCGCAGCAAGACACCAUCAACAUAAUCACCCACGUCUACACGCAAAUUGUCCACAAGGAAUACUACAUGCAAGAGGAGGAAGAUAGGACGCUGGUCUUCUUGGACUGCAGGGCAACCUUGGACAGCAUUGUUCAGAAGCACAUUGAGCUUGCCGCCAACGCCGCUGCUCCUCACCCGUCGGUUGGUGACCCGGUGCACUAGGGCGUGAGGAUGUCGUUGAUGGAUCCAUAUGUAUCUUUAUCUUUCCGUCAAAUCCAUGUAGUAGUAUAUGGUACUACUAGUAAUUAUCUUACCUUUCGCAUCAACUUCAUAAUUUUCCUACGUACUCCAUUCAUGAACCGCGCCAGAACCAAACUUCUCAUUACUCUAGGGAAAAUCGUUAUUUCUAUCUAUCGGUCUCGCCAUGGAGCAGAACCAAAUUUUACAAGUUACAAGUUGAAAAGGAAAAGCCUGCCGUGUUUGCGUCGCACACCCACACGGUUGGUCUGGCACGCCGCUCAAAGGGGAAUGUGUGCAGUGUUGCAUUUUCACUUACAAGUGGGACCGCAGUUGAGCAAACCGACUAUCGGCAAACCCCCACCCCGCCCACAGCGCGAUGGCUGAGAAAACAGGAGGGAGAAGAGAUGGCUGUAGCACGGACUCCAAGAAAAUUGGUGUCGGAUGGGACUCGUGUGGGUGGCGUGUGCCGUACUGCUAGACAUGAAUGCUAGUUAUGGCCCAUGCCACCCCACUAUAUCGAGGUGCUGGUUACGUAGAACAAAUUUCCUGGAGUCCGUGCUCAGCCCUCCUCUAUCUCUCUUCUCAGCCAGCUAGCAGACGCGCGGAGCCCAUUGUCUGUUUGCUCAUAUGCGGUCCCACAUGUCAGUGAAAACGCAAGAGGACCCACUGAACCUGCACAUCUUUCACCUCGACAUGUUGGUGAUGAAAAACAAAUCCAAUAAAGAUCUUCGGUGGCCGCUUUUGGAGUUACUCAAGAGUAGUAAGAUUCUAUUUACAGUUUAACACAAGAUGCACAUCACGUGGCUUCAACAACCACUCUAUUUUAUUGCAUGACAUGACCUGGAUGCUGGAUGUCCCACGUGUCGGCAAAAGGAGGAAGAACUCGACCAAAUCUUCGGUUGUGCUCUCGGAUUAGACUAGUUGUGCUAACUUAAAAUUUUAUUGUGUAGAAUGGAUGCAAGUUUUGGUAUUGGGAAGAAGAGUACAACGAUAUAUAUAUUGAUAGAGCGCAAUUUAGUAGAUGUUCUAGAACUUUUAGCUAGCAUAGAGGCUAGAGAUGAGACUAGUGCACUUGUUUAUAGAAUAGAGGCUAGACACGUCUACUUCUUUACACUCGAAGAAGAAAGAAGCAUGCAGGAUCGAGCCUCCGUAGAUCAACAAUGAAUGUAUCGAGAAGGCACUAAUCCAAGUUACAGGAGCAGUUCUGGAAGUUGGAUAUCUUCUAAAAUGUAUUCUUGUGGUUCUUGUUUUUCUAGUCAAAAUUUUGGUGAUGUAUUUCCAUGUACCAAAAAAUCAAUGAUGAAAAAAAGAUAUGUGUUUGCAAAGAAAAAUGUACGUGGCCGGGAUGCGUCCGCGUGUUCGGCGCACGACCACCGCAUCCGAGAAAUGGCCCGGACACGACCCCAUUGCCCUACCCAAACGGACAGAAUCCGGGCAAAACGAAGGUCCGUUUGGGGUCGUGCGUUGGAGUUGGCCUUACAAGUGGGACCGCAGUUGAGGAAACCGACUAUCGGCAAACCCCCACCUCGCCCGCUGCGCGAUGGCUGAGUUAGAGAAACAACGAGGAUGAAGAGAUUGAUGUAGCACGAACUCCAACAAAUAUGGUGUCAGAUGGAAGUCGUGCUGGUGGCGUGUGCCGUACUCCUGGACGUGAAUGCUUAUUCUGGCCCAUGCCACCCUACUACUCCUACUACUUAUAGUAGUAGUAUUAAGGAUUCGAGGUGCUGGUUACGUACAGCGAACACAUUAACAUAUGGCCCACCUCACACUGUGGCCAAAUUGCAUGGAGUCUGUGCUAGGUUAAAAAGUGUUCUUUGUGAGGAUGGGUGGCUGGUCUCAAGUUUAAAACUUGUUCUAUUACGUACGUAGAUGUAGAGAUAGUGCAGCAUGUGAAGCUAGUACAAAUAGUGUACUAUUGUUGAUUGGCCUCAUCCGAUAACCUGUUGCAAUGCACGUACAAUUAUGUAUUCGGAAAAUAUAUUUUUGCCUCGUCGCAGCACCCACUCAGAGAAGCGACUCGAAAGCCAUUCAUAAAUUUAGUAAGUUCAUCACAUGCAUAUCAUUUUAUUACCUACAAUAGGUCAUCAACCCACAACGACAACGAGGAUACAUUAUAAAUACUAAAGUUUUCAUCACACAACAAAUAACAAGCAAUGAAAUGAACUUCAACUCAACCAACUCGGCGUUGGAAACACUUGCUUUGAACCACAAGUGAUUCUCUGGGAAGGGCCAGCUACUGUCAAUCUCGAGACCAACGCAGGACUGAUCAUCCAGGCUGAAGCGGCCUACUAUAUCACGACCAGGGUAGGGAACCACCGCAAUGUCCGAUGAAUAGAUACAGUUGCUUCUCAUAAAUGGUAGUAACGGUGUGUCAAUGGCAGUUGGAUCGCCUUUCACCAUCAUUGGAUAGUUUUGUCCAAGGAAGAGCGAGUUUGCUCCAAGACUAUCAAUACUGUACCAGGGAGAAGGUGUUGGCGCUAGCACACUAGUAUCCAUCCCGAAUACCAUGCAACGGGUGUUGGAAUAGGUCCGGAGAGUGCGACCAUGGGAGACAACACCUGCUCCCUCAGUAGUAACAUCAGCAGUGGGCUGUAUACAGACAAGAAGUGGUGAUCCAUUAGAAUUAGUUGCCAGCCGCCAGUGAGCAUAUGGGCCCUGCUCGUCCUCAUGCUCGUGAUCAUCACCAUCGUGAUCUCCCCCUUGGUUAUAAAAAUUUUCAAGUAUAGGUGGUGGAAUGUGCACAUGACCUUGGAAACACAAGAAGAAGGUUAAUUAGUAGAGAAGGGAAACUUGCUAACUCGCAUGCAUGUGGAUGAAACAAUUAUAAUUACGGUGGAAGACAAAUGUACCGAAACUACGAGGAUCCCAUGCAAAAACAGCGCCACGAGUGGUGGCAGCAAACACAAGACCCUCGUAUUCAAUUGCAUCACAGUACACAUCCGUGUAUAGAAACUGUUUUUUGAGCAAUAUCCAUCCAGUCGAACCACGAAGGAUGGCAACAAACUUGUCGAAGAUAGCAACAACUUGAUAGUUCUUGUAAUUCCAAGAGCGGUUGGGAACUCGAGAAAUUGCUAUCUUCCGUAGACGACAGUCACCAUGAUCAUAUUUGAACGUACGUAGAUCAUCUGUGUGCUCAACCUCAGGGCACUCGGAGAUUUUUGGAAGUGGAAUGCCCUGAUGAGUGUACACAUUCACAAGUUCCCACUCGCAAUUGUACCCAAUAUAAAAAACCCAAUCUCCAUUUGCGCCUGCCCAAGCCUUGCCCUCAAGCGAUGGCAUCUUAACAUCAUACGUCUCAUUAUCAAGCGGCAUCAACUUACACAAGGUGAGGCUUCCCUCGUCCCCGCGCCAGUCAGCAGGGUCACGGCGAAGAAGAUAGGGGAGAUCAAACCGCUCCUGGACCCUUGGGUUCCUUGUAAUGAUGUUAUUAGUUGAGUCGAGAAUGUUCUUGAACGAACCUGCCAUGCUAGCCGAGGUGAUGACGUCGCACCGAUCAAUGAGUUCCCCCACCACGUCAUCUUUCAGAUCGGGGCAAGAAUAACGGGGUCGUUUCCGGCUUGUUCCCUCCAUGGAGAAGACGAUCAAACAAUGGCAUAAGGAAGGGUGAAGGCAAAUGGAGGAGGGAGGAAGAGCGUGCGACAGCAGUUCCAAAUCGGGAGGGAAAGGCGAAGAGUCGGUGGACGGUUGCCAGUUUGCCCCGGCCUACACGUCCUUUCGGAAAUUGUACAAAAGGACUCGCUGUCGUCUCACUGACAUGUUGGAACGGGACCACAUGUCAACUAAACAUGGUGUGUAAUUUCUCAUGCAAAAUGCGAUCUGGCCGCGUUGGCCCGAGGUGCCGCAUUAGUUAUCGACCUUUAUUUUUUUAACAUACAAUCUGAGUGGAUAGCUCCUGUGGUCAUCACACGUGAGCGGAUAUAUAGGUGGGCUAGGUGGGCAGGCGACAACAAUCUAAGUGCUAAAAUAGUUGAUCUCGAAAAAAGAGUUGAUCCAAUGCUUGGUUUUGUUUGGAUUUUCCAACUAUGACCAUUGGAUAGAGUGAAUCAAUGGCUUACGUUCAAAGUUAUUCUCAUACUAUAGAAUGGUAUAGGAACGUGGAGAGAUUUGGUUGAUUUUAUAUCGCUGAAUAAUAUAAAAUAUUAUGAGUGCAGACGCUCCACCCCGAGGUUUGUAGCUCCUUCUCGGUCGUCGGGAAUCUAUGUUCUUCCACUCUUUCGUUUAAGACAUGAGCUUUGUUCAUCCUGUUGCCGGCACGCGGGACAUCUAUAUGCCUCCAUUUUACAAAAUCAUACUAUAUGCCUCCAUGACACGCGGGAAAUCUAGCAUCAAGGUGGCAUGUCAUGCAAGAAAAUGGAGAUAUGCAGUGCGUAAGUGAGUCGUGCACUUCGAUGGCACCUAGUACUAUGCAAUAUUUUUUCUCCUCGAUGGCACGUGAAUAGUGCAUGUACUCAAUGACAGAGAACAGGAUGGUAGCCAUGGACAUGGUCGGCCCUUUUUGAAGAGAGUACUAAUAAAUACGUAACUUUGAUGUGUCCCGUCAACUCGUAGAACGACGAGAAGCUUGCUUACUACGCCUUCUCCCUCGCCAACGCGUGCGUGGUGGCUCGCAGCACGAGGAGAAACUUUUGCUUACAAGCGGUGGACGUGCAGCAGUUCAUUUGGUGUCAGACUGCCAGAAGUAGUACCAUCAUUAUUGUUCGACUUCCGAAAGAGGAGAAGAGCCAAGCGCAAGGUCACCUACUAACCUAGUACAGUACUACUAUAGCCAAAGCUGGUCCACCUUUUUAGAGCAUGGUUAAUUAAUAUAGGCGGCUCUUGCAGCGGCACAUCAUUUAGAGCAAGUACUCUCUUCGUAGGAUCAAAGGAAGUGAAACAAAAGUUGUAGUGGAUGCUAGAUUGCCAAUUAAAACAUGAUUACAUAGGAAAAAAAUCCUAUAGCAUUCUAUCCUAUGAAUCAAAUGACCAAUGUAGGAAAAUUAUGAGGGGGGUCUCUCCAACAGUGUUCCUCGGCUCGCACCUAGCAUAACGGUGGUCGAACUUGGAGUCAUUCAUCUGGUACACAUGGCAUCUCAGAUCUGGUACUCCUAUAUUAGGUUGGCUCAAUGUGAUGUGGCAACUUCAUAUACUGACCGGAUGCUGGCUAUACUACUACGGUACUCACACUCCAAGAAGUGACUCGAAAACCAUUCAUAAAUUGAGUCUAUGACACGCAUUUGCAAAUGUACCAUUCAUUACAUACAACAAGUCAUCAACACACAACGACAACGAUGAUACAUGUUGGAUUAUAGAUUAUUUCCAACAAAACAUUCUAGGAAAUACUAAAGUUUUCAUCACACAACAAAUAACAAGCAAUGGAAUGAAUUUCAACUCAACCAAUCCUUGGCAUUGGAAACGCUUGCUUUGAACCAUAGGUGCUCUGGGAAGGGCCAGCUAUUGUCAAUAUCGAGAGCAACGCAGGACUGAUCAUCCAGGCUGAAGCGGAAUAUAUCAGGAGCAGGGUAGGGAACCACCGCAAUCUCUGAGGUAUAGAUACAGUUGCUUCUCAUAAAUGGUAGUAACGUUGUGUCAACAGCAGCUGGAUCACCUUUAACCAUCAUUGGAUAGUUUGGUCCAAGGAAGAGCGAGUUUGCUCCAAGACUAUCAAUACUGUACCAGGGAGAAGGUGUUGGUGCUAGCACACCAGUAUCCAUCCCGAAUACCCUGCAACGGGUGUUGGAAUAGGUCUAGAGAGGGCGACCAUGGGAGACAACACGUGCUCCCUCAAUAGUAACAAUCUCAGUGCACUGUAUACAGACAAGAAGAGGUGAUCCAUCGGAAUUAGUUGCCAGCCGCCACUGAGUAUAUAAGUCCUGCUCGUCCUCAUGAUCACGAUCAUUACCAUCGUCAUCUCCCCCUUGGUUAUAAAUUUUUUGAAGUAUAGGUGGUGGAAUGUUCACAGGACCUUGGAAACACAAGAAGAAGGUUAAUUAGUAAAGGGAAACUUGCUAACCCGCAUGCAUGUGGAUGAAACAAUUAUAAUUAUGGUGGAAGACAAACGUACCGAAACAACGAGGAUCCCUAGCAAAAACAAUGCCACGCAUGGUGGAAGCAAAUACAAGAUCCUCGUAUUUAAGUGCAUCAUAGUACUCAUCAUCCGUGUACAGAAACUGAUUUUUGAGCAAUACCCAUGGACGAACCGUGGAAUCAGUAACGACGGCAACAAGCUUGUCGAAUAUAUCAACAACUUCAUAGUUCUCGUAAUUCCAAGAGCGGUUGGGAACUCGACAAAUUGCUAUCUUCCGUAGACGACAGCCACCAUGAUCGUAUUUGAACGUACGUAGAUCAUCUGUGUGCUCAACCUCAGGGCACUCUGAGAUUUUUGGAAGUGGAAUCCGCUGACGAGUGUACACAUUCACAAGUUCCCACUCGCAAUUGUACCCAGUAUAAACAACCCAAUCUCCAUUUGCGCCAGCCCAGGCCAUACCCUUAAGCGAUGGCAUCUUGACAUCACAUGUAUCAUUAUCAAGCGGCAUCAACUUGCACAAGGCGAGGCCUCCGUCAUCCGCGCCCAUGCGAACAGGCUUAUAGUGAAGAAGAUAAGGGAGAUCAAACCGCUCCUGGACCCUUGGGUUCCUUGUAAUGAUGUUAUUAGUUGAGUCAAGAAUGUUCUUGAACGAACCUGCCAUGCUAGCCGAGGUGAUGACGUCGCACCGAUCAAUGAGUUCCCCCACCACAUCAUCUUUCAGGUCAGGGCAAGAAUAACGGGGUCGUUUCCGGCUUGUUCCCUCCAUGGAGAAGACGAUCGAACAAUGGCAGAAGGAAGGGUGAAGGCAAAUGGAGGAGGGAGGAAGAGCAUGCGACAGCAGUUCCAAAUCGAGAGGGAAAGACGAAGAGUCGGUGAACGGUUGCCAGUUUGCCACGGUACACGUAGAGGCGCCCCAGCCUACACGUCCUUUCGGAAAUUGUACAAAAGGACUCGCCAUCGUCUCACUGACAUGUUGGAACGGGACCACAUGUCAACGAAACAUGGUGUGUAAUUUCUCGUGCAAAAUGCGAUCUGGCCGCGUUGGCCCGAAGUGCCAUAUUGUUUCUCGACUUUAUUUUUUAAUGGCGUGCCGUUCAGUUUUGAAGCACGACUAACUGGUACUAUUUGCAGAGAAAAUGUAAACUACGCUACCACUACUCCACCUCUAGUACUAGUAGUAUAAAAAAGAUAUAUAGGCUGGAGCUUCAGAGCUUUCUUGCUAAGGGCUGCCCACUUGCUUCUCACACUAUCACCCUCUCUCCAGAUCUAAAAAGACGGCCUCUCUCUCCCUCCUCACCGGUGGUCACAGAUCCGCCGGGGAAGAAAAGGACGUGCAGUGUUGACGCACUCGUCGUCGGCGAGUGAGGUCACGCACUGACGACAAGGCCGUCCUCUCAGACCUAGCGCCCGCGCGGGAUGGCCUCCGUCCCCAAGCUCGCUGCCGUGGUGCAUGCAGAGGACGACGACCACGAGCGAAGCCACUUCCCGCCGACCCUCAGGUAUGCUACCCCUUUUCGAACCAUACCCUUGUUCUAUUGCCCCAUCUGCCACGUCGCUGCAUGUGGAUCUUUUUCCACUCCACCAUCUUCCCAAUUUGCUAUCCUCUGCUCUGCUGGUCACGCAGAUGAAAACCUUAAUUUGCACUAUUAAAGGAAACCCUACUUCAUGCAGACUAAUCCAUGUCUGGGUUGAAUAAGGAAAGGAAGGGAGACUGUACUGUCCAAGAGAGUAGGCAUCGAACCCGCAUCUAGGUUGAAAAUGGGAAAAUCAGUAGCUAAGGAACGAGUCUCGUGUCUCUUGGUUGAAGAAGGGCAGAAAGGCAUGACAACGCAAUAGAGAAUGACCAGGUUGAUCAGUUUGUUGUCCUCACAUAGGAAAAAGGUGGCUAAACAUAACAAAAAUGGGACAUAAUCCACAUAUUCUGCCGGGAUAUUUGUUGCUGUAGGCAACCAUACCUCCCUCACCACUCUAUGCGUCCGUGGAGGUACAUCGUACUGGUGCGCCCACUAUCCGAAUGGGUCUCCCAUGCUCUUAUUGUCACUUUUUUGCUGUUAGUAUAAUGCCAUCAGUCAAGUCAAGAAAUGCUACUGCUAAAGUGAUGCCACAUUUAACUAAUGCCGCACUCAGUCUAAUGCCACCGAUAAAUUUAACUAAUGCCAUUUAAUGUCACUGGAUUAUUUCAGGGUUAGCUGUUGAUUGUGGAUGUAUUAAAGAUUUUUCAGCUAAGGCAUUCUAAUGUUGUUGCAUAGCCAGUAUACCAACGAUGAAACUUGUUACUACCUUCAAAUUUUUGCACUAUUAAUGCUUAUAGAUUACAUACCUCACUUUCAUGAGAUAAGUUAAUUUUUUUGUACAGUGUCACCAAAAUGCCAAGGCGUUGAUGUCAUUUUAUUUUGGUUAAACUGCACAAAAAAUUAUGAAGACAAGAGGGAAGGUCAAGAGUGGGCACCUCCUCCUCCGGCUGUUCUCUUGAUUUGUUCGAUCAAGUUUUUAUGUUUGAUCGAUUAUCAAGAUUGGGAUAGCAAUUUUUAAGGUCCCCCCGAAUUUGAAAUGAUAUUUACCUUGGAGGUACAUGGUUUGCAAUUUUUUAUACUUCCAUUAGUUAAUAAUGCUAGUUACCUUCAAACUUUUGUAUUUGGUUUAAUGCUCAUGCACAGCUAGUAUACAAAUGUUGAAACGUGUUACCUUUACAUUUUGUAUUGUUAAUUCUUAUAGAAAUCUUCCAGUGCCAGAGUUUAUUGAAAUAUGUUCAGUAAAACCAUUGUACUGUACCCUGUAAUAAAAUAACUACUCUAUUGUUGCACUAGCCACUGGAUUAGUGUAUAUUUUUAGUAUUUGAAAUUUCGAGUGGUGUUGCAUUAGCGUAUGGACAUAAAUAAAGUGUGGCAAGCUUUCCCAGAUAUGUGCUCAAGAAAACUACUACCUGUUUUUCUAAAUACUAGACGUUUGGGUACUUUAAACUGAACCGCGAAAACGUCUUAUAUUAAGGAACAGAGGGUGUAGAGUUCACUCAAAUUAUCCCGAUAAAGCUAGUCACACCUUUGUUAAAAUUAAUGUUCAUUAUGUUAUCGGAGGAGGUCUGUAAGUUUGUCUCUAAUGCCUGUCGACUACAUACCUGACAUCAUGAUGUAAUGUUAAGUCAUUUCCUUUUGUACAGUGUCACUGAAUUGUCAAGGCGGUGAUGGCAUUUUAUUUUAGUUGAACUGCACAAAAUAUGCUAUAAAAGAAGAGGAAAGUUCAGGAAUCGAUCAUUCUUUCAGAAAGAACUAUAUAUGCCUUUCUGACAUCAGCCGCUGUUGCCUUAUUUAUUCCUUCAAACAGGUGGUUAGAAACAGUCUUGCUACCUUUUCCCAUUAAGAAAUUGGAAUGCUUAUAUUUGUGAGUCUAUGCUUCAACUAGUGCCACUUUUAUAGUAAUCACACUUUCAAUAUCUAUGCAAAGAGGGAUGCUCGAUUUUAGUGGAACUGCACAAAAAGUCCAACUGGUUCAACAUUAGGAGCAUGUUUUCUUCCAAACCUUUAUAUCCAAUUGAUGGCACUAUGAGAUGUUCAUUAAGAAGGUACAUGGUUUGCUACUAUCUUGAUACUCUUUUUGUACUGUCAUUAGAUAGUAAUACUAGUGGUUUGCAUGUGAAUUUAUUGGCAGGGUGGACCUAUAUUGGAGGUGCAGGACAGGAUUCAAUGAUUGGAUGCUCAAUUUCGGUUGUAUCGAUUUCACCUCUUCCAUCACUGCGAACAUGGAUAUCCUUGGUCUGAUGAAGAAUAGGCGCUAUAUUUCUACUCUGAACAAGCAAAUCAAUUCAGUAUGAAAUUGUCCAGGGCAAAACAUGACUGUAUCAAAUUGUCCAGUGCAAAACAUGACAGAUGCUAAGCGGAAGAGACAUGUUUAAACCGAAAAUACAAGGUGGGGUAUAUGUUUACUAGUUGCUUGAUAUUUGUGCAUACAGAGAUGUCUACCUGUUGUUAUUUGGCAAACACACAAAGUGACCGCAAUUUUGGUUGAACUGCACAAGAGAAUAGUAUAGUCACUGCAUGCAGUGCCAUUUGAAAAUAGACACAGAAAGAUUGGAUAGUCACUUCAUGGACUGCAGAAAAGUAGUACUGUACUAUUUAUUGGCCAACACUAGGUGCUUCAUUGUUUUGGUCUAAUUAUACAAUGGGCAUCAUUUUGCCUAAUUUAAAGUUUGUAUUCCGAAAAUAGUCUUGUCGUGUGAUCAAGAGAAGACCAAAUCAUAUUGCAGUGGAUGUUCCUCCAUCAUGUGUGGUUCAUUCUCAUGGUUCCAGCUGUUGGUGAAACCACUUACGUUUGCAAGAGGAAUUGUAGACUUCACAAACAAAUUUGUCUUUCAGUCUGUACUGAAUGUUGGCCAAGAGAAGCAUCCAUGUUAGUAGGAAGAACAUAUGUUUUUUCUAGAUCUUUGCUUUUGGAGCUACAUAUUUGUAUAUGAUCUGUGAAUCAUUGAGAUGCAUUAAUAUGUUGAUCUUAUGUAUGGGAAUCGUACUAGUUGGUUUUAGUUGUGGCUGAUCUUUGCUUUGGAGCUACAUAUUUGUAUAUGAUCUGUGAAUCAUUGAGAUGCAUUAACAGUUCCUUAUAUCUGUUCGCUCAGUGUUUACAAGUUACUGAUCGAUCACUAGCUAGCCUACUAAUGCGCUCCUGGCAAUUUUAGUUGCGACGCAAGAUCCGAAGUGGCAGUUUUUUGAAUAAAAAUGCCUACCUCUGAAGAAACUGACAAGCUGCUCUGAAGAAAAUGCCAUGUGAAUCUGAAGAAACUGCCAGCAAAAAUGUUCGCAAAUGCCUUAUCUCCCAGCUAAAGUUCAUCAACUAGUGCCCUCGGCUGCGACUCGUUGCAUGCUGCUCUGCGUACUGGCUGCGAGCGAUUUUGAGUGCCUGCAUCCAGCCAGCCGUAAUUAAGGCAGCUAACUGACGCGAAAAAGAUGCGCUUUAAUUGUUGCAGGCCUUUUAAAUCCGUGGAAUCAUUAUUGACAAGGAGGGAGAUGAUUCGAGAGCACUCGUUUGACCGUCAUGCCGGCGUGCGACCCAGCACGGACGGGACGGGACGGCACAGUCAAAAUUUCAGUUUCUCUAGUUUUCCAUGGCAAGCUGGCGCGCUAAGCCAUGCCUGCUUAAUUAUGCAUUGAAUUCCAAUGACCGUCGCCCUACCUUCCGCCUAUAAGUAUUGUUUCCCGGCCUUCUAUGGUGGCAUCGCGACCCAACUCACCCUAUCCUCAUAAGCCCCCACCGGCCUGACGUCGCUUGCCACUUAUCCACGCUCUCGCCACGUCCGCCAUGCCCCCUCCCGUCCGCGAUAGGCGAGGACGGAGGUGGUCACCGCCGGAACUAGUGUUCGGUUUUUCACCGGAAGGCAGAAGGAGGGAGGAGGCAUUCUAUCGGUCUUUAGAUAGCAAUGCAGAGAUCGAGGACUUGUUAGAGCGCGACCGCCUGGCGGAGCAGGAGUUGUUGGAGUGCGAACGCUUGGCGGAGGAGCAGCGUAUCUCCGAUUUGCGCCGCGAGCGGGACAUGGAGCAGCAGCGCACCGACGCUCUGAGUCGUGAGUAGAGCGCCCGCAACUGGGCCGACUACGUGGAGGCCGGCGCCCGGCAAAUAGCCCUGGAGGCUGUUGGGCACACACGUGUUCACGACACUGAUUUUUACUACCAGCUCGUCAAGUGGGUUUCCCUCUUAGAAGCCGAAGCUUCGGUGGACCACACCGGCAUGGAAAGGGCCAACGCGCGCGAGCAAUGCGCCCUAUCGCACCUCUGGCAAGUCCGAGGCGAGGCGGAGGACGCCGGUGCCGGCGUUUAGCGUGUACCGCGGAUGGCGGCCGACAUCGUCUAGUUAGCUAAGAGUAAGUUAGUACUUGUACGCUACUAGAGUAUUAGUGGGAGUAGAUAGUUAACUUGGCUAUGAUGGUUGUCAACGUGGAAGUUCAGUACUCUAUAUGUGGAUCAGACAUGUUACUUUGCUCUGAAUGUUGAACUUUCCGUUUGAACGUAUGGAAUGGGAUGUUAUUUUUUAAAUGGGUUGUAUUUGUCCUCCACGGGUUUAGAGGCUGACUUGUGGGCCCACCAAGUUGACGCGUACACAAUCAGGAGAUGAUUGUACGUGGAGAGGAUGACAGUGGGGACCCGCCAAGGUCAUGGCAGUAUGCAAGCAAGUGCCUCCUUAUUUCAAGCCAAUAAAAAAUGGCUCCUCCUAAUGGAUUUCUGACAGCUGGAUCCCAUGUCAUUGUCAACGUAGUCAAUAAACGAGAGAACUGCACAACGAGCGGCUGACACGAGGGACCCAGCAGCUCGCCCAGUUAUUUUUGUUUUGGGUUAAUUUGAUAAAUGCCACUCCAAAUCUGGUGUUUCUGAGAAAUUCCACUGCAAUUUACAAACUUUGAAAAAUGCCAUUUCAUGCCAUUUCCAGUGACAUUUUUCGAAGUCUCGAGUGGCGUUUUUCAAAGUUUGCAAAUUGCAGUGGCGCUUUCCAAAGUUUGCAAAAAUUGCAGUGGCAUUUUUCAAAGUUUGGAAAUUGAAGUGGCAUUUUUAUGAAUCACCAUAAUUGGAGUGGCAUUUAUCUAAUUUGUUUUUGAGACGGAAGCAGGGUGUCAACUGAGCUGUGCGGGGCACUCUGGCCUGUCUAGACAGCCUUCUCUUUUAUGUUUACCACAGACCAGCCCAGUAGUUUUUUUUCUUUCUAAAAAUGGCUAGCCCAAUUUUUUUGUGAUUUGCCAAGUAAGUCGCUUUGUCAGGCCUGUUGGGCUGCAAAUCUUUCAAGACGAGGAGAGCUUCAUUCGGCUAGACAAGAAAAUGGCCUAUCAGUAAUGAGAAAUGGGUUGUAAAUUUUUAAAACACAUCAAACCGACAAUUAGUUUCAAAUUUCUUUUUUUCAUUUUGAGCUUUUAAAUUGCAUUAAUUUUUAUGCGUGGACAAUUUGUUGGAUUUUAUAUUGAUAUACAUUUAUUUUUAAAAUUAGUUUGAAUGUGAGUCAAAAUUUCGGGAUUAAAAACAGUUCGACCGCACCGAAAUAUGCAAAAUUUCGUAUAAUUUUUUAACCGUGGCCACAAUAUGGGCUGUAAUGCUAACAAAAAGAAUAUGGGCUCCAAAAAAACCUUAAGAAUUAGCAAAUGGCUGUAAAUUAUUAGAAAUAAUGGCAGAUGGGCUGUAUGCUGUUUUCCACAGAUUUGAGGCUUUCCUAAAAAAAUGUUGACGCACAAGCAGUGACUGUUGGAUGUCCAUCCAACGGCCAUCGUGCUUCUUCAAUCUCUGCUCUUCCUGCUCCAGCCGCUCAAACAAGCGCCGGCGGGACUGCCUGCUCCCUCCUCCCCGCGGUCGGCUGUGCUGCCGCGCAGGCCUCACCGUCCCACCGUACUCCCAUCGCUGGCCUAGCCAUCCCUCUACUCACCCACACCUGCUGUUAUUCUCCGGCGACGGCAGACGAACCAGUAAACCCUCGUACAGUCGUACUCCCCUCCGCAUGGGAAACAACUGCCGAGUCUUCCCUGCCUCCGUGUCGUUCCCUUCCUAGGCCUCGCCGACGUCCACCGCCCUGGUGCUCUCGGCGCGGCCUGGUCAACGUGGUCAACGGCCGACAUGCAUCUGAAGUGGACUGUACGUGGAGAGGCUGACAGCUGGGUCCACGGCCGCACGCAAGGAAGUGUGUCCUUAUUACCCACCAGCGAUAUCUUCGCACGCAAGGAAGUGUGUCCUUAUUACACACACAAAAAUGAAUACUCCCCCUGCUAGUUGGGACCCAGUACAGUGGCAGGCUAACUUGUGGGCCUGCUAAGUUGACGGGGACAGAGGGCUUUGUCAACUUAGUCAAUAUGCAUGAUUCUAGCUCCAGUGACUUUAUGAUGUCCAUCCAACUGCCGUAUGUAGUGCUUCUUCAACCUCUGGUCUUCUUGCUCCAGCCGCCCAAACCAGCGCCGGUCGUGCCUCGUGCUCCUGCCUCCCGUGGCCGGCUGCGAUGCGGCGGAGGCCUCACCGCCCCCUACUACUGCCACCGCUGGCCAGGCCAUCCCUCUACUCACCCACACCCCCUGUUAUUCUGUGGCGACGAAAGCCUCACACCGCAUCGAACCAGUGAACCCUCAUACUCCUCUACGUGUGGGCAUCCACUACCGCGUCUUCCCCGGCUCCGCAUCGUCCCCUUCCUAGGCCUCGUCGUCGUCCACCGCCCUGGUGCUCUCGGCGCGGCGUGGUCAACGUGGUCAAGGAACGACUUCCACUGGAAGAGUACUGUACGUGGAGAGGCUGACAGCUGGGUCCACGGCAGCCGCAAGGAAGUGCCUCCUUAUUGCGCGGAAAAUAAUUAUUCCUCCACCUGACAGCAGGGACCCACCGGACGGGCCACCGUAUUUGGUGCAAAAACGUUUCCCCCCUGACUGCUGGGACCCACCGGACGGGCAACCAUAUUUCGCGAAAAAGCGUUCCCCCCGCUGUCAGCUCGGACCCACCGGAAGUGCCGCCUUAUUACGCACAAAAAAUGAAUACUCCCCCUCCUAGUUGGGACCCACCUUGGUGGGUGGCUGACUUGUGGCACUACUAAGUUGACGGGGACGGAGUGCUUUGUCAACUUAGUCAAUAUGAACGAUUCUAGCUCCAGUGACCGUACGAUGUCCAUCCAACGGCCGUAGUGCUUCUUCAACCUCUGGUCUUCUUGCUCUAGCCGCCCAAAGCAGCGCCGGUCGUGCCGCAUGCUCCUGCCUCCCGUGGCCGGUUGUCCUGCCACGGAGGCCUCACCGCCCCUACUAUUCCCACCGCUGGCCAGGCCCUGCGGCGACGGCAGCCUCACACCGCAGCCGAACCAGUGAACCCUCGUACUCCUCUCCGCGCGGCCUUCAACUGCCGCGUCUUCCCCGGCUCCGCAUCGUCCCCUUCCUAGGCCUCGUCGUCGUCCACCGCCCUGGUGCUCUCGGCGCGGCAUGGUCAACAUGGUCAAGGAACGACUUCCAUCGGAAGAGUACUGUACGUGGAGAGGCUGACAGCUGGGUCCAUGGCCGCAGCAAGGAAGUGCCUCCUUAUUACGUGCAAAAUAAUUAUUCCUCCACCUGACAGCGGGGACCCACCGGACGGGCCACCAUAUUUCGCGAAAAAAACGUUUCCCCUGACUGCUGAGACCCACCAGCUACAUCUUCGCACGCAAGGAAGUGCGUCCGGGCAAAAAAUAACAAUUCGCCCCCUGACUGCUGGGACCCACCAGCUACAUCUUCGCACGCACGGAAGUGCCUGACAGUUGGGACCCACCUGGUCGAAGCGUACGUAGCGUUGUCAUUCUGGUCGCGAACGUGUACGUACAUACUGGUCGAUGUAGAGUCGCGCACGUGUCAUAGUAGAGGCGCACACAUAGCAUGUACACGUACGUACAGCGCCCAGGGUGCAACAAAGUAAAUACGGCCACGUACGUACAUACGGGCGGGGUCUCGAACGCCUACUCGCGCGUACGUACGGCCAGGGCUCGUGUACAUGGCUGGGUCGGAACGGAGAAACUGCGUCGUCGUCGUGUUCAUGGGGAGGCAACGGAAUGCGUCGUGUUCAUCGGGAGGCAACGGAACGCGUGGGAGCCAACCGGCUUGGACGGAACAGCCGAUGGAAACGAGGCAUGGCGUACUGCAGAACGGAGGAAACGGCCUUGUGUUCGACCGGCCACGUUCGAAAUAGGAUCCUGUUCAUCGAGAGGGGUCUGGCGUACCGCAAAACGGAGGAAACGGACCUCCUACGGUCGAAACGGGGGUCCUGUUGAUCGGGAGGGGUGUGGCGUACCGCAAAACGGAGGAAACGGACUUGUGUUGGAGCGCUAUGGUCGAAACGGGGGUCCUAUUCAUCGGGAGGGGUGUGGCGUACCGCAAAACGGGACUCCAUGGGAUACUGUUCAUCUCCACCGUCGACCCCCUCCAGCCUCCACGGGCUACUGUUCAUCCACCAUCGACCUCCUCCAGCCUCCACCUGUGACUGUUCAUCCACGGGCUCCUGUUCAUCCAGCCUCCACCGCGCGCUACUCCACCGGCUACUGUUCAACCAGCUCUCUCCACGGGCUCCUGUUCAACCACCCGUCCACGGGCUACUGUUCAUCCAGCCCUCCACCGUCUAUUGUUCAUCCAGCCCUCCACGGGGUGGUCCUGUUCAUCCUGCCCUCCACGGGGUCCUGUUCAUCCAGCCCCAACCGGCUCGAUCGAUCGGGGUCCUGUUCAUCCAGAGGCAACACCACGGGGUCCUGUUCAUCCACCCCCACUGGGAAUUGUUCAUCCAAACCCCCCAGCAACGCUCACUGUUCAUCCAGAGGCAGCAUCGAUCGGCUUCAGUUAGCAGCAGUAGCGAAGGAAUCGCUCGAUCGGGUUCAGUUUACAGCCAUCGAUCGAUCGCUCGGGUUCAGUAACACGUAGCCUGCAGUGCAAUCGCUCGGGUUCAGUUAGAGCCCAACGCCUCGCUCGGGUUCAGUUAGAGCCCAACGCCUCGCACCCACGCGUGUGCGUGUAUGAGAGAAACGCGCAUCGCUCGGCCCCGACCACCCACCGUAACCGGGAACACCCCGAUAUUUUCCUCGCCCUCGCUUCUACCACGGUUUUUCCCGUCAUGGACGGCCCAAAGAAUGUCAUGCAGCUACGUCUCCGGCCCGCCCAGGACGAAAAGCCCAUUUUCUGUCAUGAUUUUUUGUCAUAGAAGUAGGACCCCACCACAUCUAUGAUGAUACCGGGUUUUGUCACAAUUAUCGUCAUAGAAGUGUCAUAAGUAUGACAGAAAAAAAUUCUUUCGGCCCAAAAUGUCACGGAUGUGUCUUUUUUUGUAGUGAUAAUUCCAGCCCGUUUUAACUUCCGGCCCAUGUAUGGCCCAUGACGUCUUUCGGCCCAUAUGAGGCCCUUAGUAACUCUCGGCCCAUUAACGGCCCGUGGUAAAACUGGCCCGUAAUGAACAGUGUAUCACUUUAUACCCAUUAACGGCACAUGGUGAAACUAGCCCGUAAUGAACAGUGUAUCACUUUAUACCCAUUAACGGCCCAUUAUUCCGUUGGGCCAUUUCCAGCCCAUGUUAUCUUUCGGCCUUCUCAGGGCCCAUUUAUUCUUGGGCUCAUUUCCAAUAUUCGUUUACUUACGGCCCGUUACUGUCAUUUUCUGCUUGUGGGCCAAAUUCAGCCCGUGGUUACAGUCGGCCCGUUUGUGGCCCAUUAAUACGUUGGGCCGUUUUCAUAGCGUCAUCAAAUACGGCCGAUUAACGACGGCCCGUUAUGGUCGGCCCAUGAACGGACGAUUUCAACUCUAGCCCAUUUACGGCCAUAAUGUCGUAUGUUAUUGGCCCAUGUUUGGCCAAGCGAUCAUACGGCCCGGAGAAGGCCCAUUGUGUCUACGGCCCGUAUAAGGCCCAUUGUUUCUAUGCCUCGUAGAAGGCCCAUUGUUUGUACGGCCCGUAGGAGGCCCAUGUUAACUAUAGUAAAUUUGUAGCCCAUGGUUAUUGUGGCCUAGUUAUAAAAAAUAGGUUAUUGCGGCCACUAGCAAACCGCGGAAAAAGAACUCCACUGACUACAAGAAAACAAAUAAACAAGACAAUAAGGAAAUAAAUUAGCAAGCAACUUACGCUAGGCUAUCACGGCUAUUACACAUAUUACAUCCACUGGGCAUCAAAGUUCGCCACCAGUGCAAAUAUAGGGAACAAAGCAGCAUAUAAACGCCGCAGCAAAACAAGUCCAGAACUGAAAUCACUUCAGAAGAGCUCAAGAAACAAUAUUCUGGGUACCCAUAAUGCUGGCAAGAUGCUUAGCAAGCUUAUUAACUUUCUCUUGUUUGGCGCUUAAAUCCUCCAGCACUUGCUGUUGCACCAGAAAGUAUGCAUCUGAAUUCUGCAGGGACUUCCUCGAUCCUUCGGCUUCCUGUCGCAUAACAUCUGAUCGAUGUCUUUCAACUUGAAGUUGAGACUCAAGAAGCCGAACUGAUGCAGGCAGCGAGUUUGAAGAGCUGGUGCCAGCAGUAGUAGCCAGUAACUCGAACACUACAUCAAGACAGGACUUUGGGGUUGUCUCAGUGUCUUCAAUAUAGUUUUAUCAGCUUUCUUGGAGACCAACAGGGAUGUCUCACUAUCUUGAACCUUAUAUGCAUUACUUCCUUUACCAUUGCAUAACGGGGUACUCUUCUCCAAUAUUUUAUCCGCGUUCUAAAAGACAAACAAACAAACACAUCACAGGUUUACAAUGUAGUAUAUGAAACUCGUUUUGGUAAACCAGUUCAGUAGUAAGGUGGACAGGAUAACAGCAUGAAACAAACAUAUAUCUAUGUAGUAUGGUCACUGUAUGGUCUAUAUUCUUCUAGUUUAUGUUGCCAAAUCAAGAUAGAUACAGUUCGAAUCAUAUCUAUUUAAGACAAAGCAGCAUAGACAGAAUAUAAGUGUGGGAAACUACACAGCAAUAACAACACUUGUAAUGUGCAUGGCAUGAGAACAUAACUGUUUAUUCAAUUGAAACUGAAAUCAACAUAGAGCAAGUUACAACAGCAAACACGUUAAAGAAACAGGUUUAAAACAUACCUGUUGCGCCAUUGGAGUUUCAAUUGCAUCCUUCAAAUUUGAAAUUAGUUGGUAUGAGUAAAUACAGUGAUGCAAGAGCAAAGUAGUAUGAACCAUAGCUACAGAACCUGACCUGAGAACAAUUCUUCUUCUGCUUUAAGCGUUGACUUGGGGUUCAGAGUGGUGGUCCUCGUGCUUUGGGCACUGCAGUUGCCUUACUAACUGCUCGUGUUUGGGUGCUCUGUGGUGGAGACGGUGCUGUGUCAACGGGAACUGGAUUACUAUCUGCUGGGGUUGGGGUUAGAAGGGGUGUAGCUGGUUCGCUGUCCAACUGGGUAGGGGUACAAUCUGCGUGAGUCUGGGUUAUGUGUGGUGGGGCUGGUUCUUGGGCAAGUACAACCGUGGUUCUAUCUCCAUCGACAGGUAGCACGAUCUUUUCUGAAGACCGUGUUUUUACUCCCACAGAUACUGCCAUCACCCCCUCCAAUUGAAAUGGCUGAUAAACAAGAAAAGUAAUUGGAUGUACACACAUUGUAAGAUAGACAGGUGCAAUGGAUAGUAGGGAAGAAAACAAGGCAUGAAAUAAUUCACAUUUAUGUGGUCAAACAAAACAGAAUAGCAGGACACAAUUUCACAUAUAUGAUGGCUAAUUAAACAGGAUAGCAUGACACAAUUUCACAUGUAUGAUGGUGAUACGUCCAUUUUGCAUCAUGCUUUUAUAUCGAUAUUUAUUGCAUUAUGGGCUGUUAUUACAAGUUAUAUCACAAUACUUAUGCCUAUUCUCUCUUAUUUUACAAGGUUUACAUGAAGAGGGGGAAUGCCGGCAGCUGGAAUUCUGGGCUGGAAAAGGAGCAAAUAUUAGAGACCUAUUCUGCACAACUCCAAAAGUCCUGAAACUCCACGGAAGUUAUUUUGGGAAUUAAUAAAAAAUACUGAGCGAAGAAAGUACUAGAGGGGGCCCACACCCUGGCCACGAGGGUGGGGGCGCUCCCCCUGCCUCGUGGGCCCCCUGGCAGGCCUCCGGUGCCCAUCUUCUGCUAUAUGAGGUCUUUUACCCUGGAAAAAAUCAUAAGCAAGCUUUCGGGAAGAAACUCCGCCGCCACGAGGCGGAACCUUGGCGGAACCAAUCUAGGGCUCCGGCAGAGCUGUUCUGCCGGCGAAACUUCCCUCCAGGAGGGGGAAAUCAUCACCAUCGUCAUCACCAAUGAUCCUCUCAUCAAGAGGGGGUCAAUCUCCAUCAACAUCUUCACCAGCACCAUCUCCUCCAAAACCCUAGUUCAUCUCUUGUAUAUAAUCUUUGUCCCAAAGCCUCAGAUUGGUACCUGUGGGUUGCUAGUAGUGUUGAUUACUCCUUGUAGUUGAUGCUAGUUGGUUUAUUUUGUGGAAGAUCAUAUGUUCAGAUCCAUUAUGCAUAUUAAUACCCCUCUGAUUAUGAACAUGAAUAUGAUUUGUGAGUAGUUACGUUUGUUCCCGAGGACAUGGGAGAAAUCUUGCUAUAAGUAGUCAUGUGAAUUUCGCAUUCGUUCGAUAUUCUGAUGAGAUGUAUGUUGUCUUUCCUCUAGUGGUGUUAUGUGAAUGUCAACUACAUGACACUUCACCAUUGUUUGGGCCUAGAGGAUGGCAUUGGGAAGUAAUAAGUAGAUGAUGGGUUGCUAGAGUGACAGAAGCUUAAACCCUAGUUUAUGCGUUGCUUCGUAAGGGGAUGAUUUGGAUCCAUAUGUUUCAUGCUGUGGCUAGGUUUACCUUAAUACUUAUUUUGUAGUUGCGGAUGCUUACAGAAGGGGUCAUAAGUGGGAUGCUUGUCCAAGUAAGGACAGCACCCGAGCACCGGUCCACCCACAUACCAAAUUAUCAAAGUAACGAACGUGAAUCAUAUGAGUGUGAUGAAAACUAGCUUGAUGAUAAUUCCCAUGUGUCCUCGGGAGCGUUUUCCUUCAUAUAAGAUAUUGUCCAGGCUUGUCCUUUGCUACAAAAAGGAUUGGGCCAUCUUGCUGCACCUUAUUUACUUUCAUUACGUGUUACCCGUUACAAAUUACCUUAUCACAAAACUAUCUGUUACUAAUAAUUCCAGUGCUUGCAGAGAAUACCUUGUUGAAAACCGCUUAUCAUUUCCUUCUGCUCCUCGUUGGGUUCGACACUCUUACUUAUCGAAAGGACUAGAUAGAUCCCCUAAACUUGUGGGUCAUCAGAUGGCUAACUAAACAGGAUAGAAUGACAUACUUCAAAAUAUGAUGACUAUGUAAACAGGAUGACAUGAUAUAACUAUACGAUGUGUCUAUUAAAGUGGUUGGCAUGCCAUAAAUCACAAACAUGCCGUCGAUGGAGACAUGAUGGCACGAUAUAAUUCACGGAUAGAAUGACAUAAUUAAAAAUAUGAUAACUAUGUAAACAGGAUUAGAUGAUAUAACUAUAUUAUGUCUUUAGAAAAUAGGUUGGCAUGCCAUAAUUCAGAUACAUGCUGUCUAUGUAAACAUCAUGGCAUGAUAUAAUUCAAAUAUAUGAUUUAUAUACUAAGGAAGUGAGCGGAGGGCAAUCGCAUAUAUGAUGUGUUAACUAAGGAGAUGGCAUUCAAUAUCGUGUAUAUGAUGUAAAAAACUAAGCAUUGCAAUACAACAUAUGCAUGAUAUGAGUAAUAUAACCCUGCCAAGUUUGAGCAUACACCUCAGGGGGAUAAUAGGACUGGUCAUCUGCCUCUGAAUCCUCCUCUGAAGAGCUAUCUGUAACCAGCAAGAUAUCUGCUUCAGCAGGUAGCAUUGUUUGCUCUGAAGACCUUGUUUUCACUCCAGAUUUCUCCAUCACCAAUUCAAAUGGUUGAUGCAUAGGAAGAGCAGUUGAAUAUAUAAACAUUGUCGACAAAAGCAAUGAGAAAUACAAAAAAAGGACGGCAUUAAUAAUUCACAUAUAUGACGCUUGGCUAAACAGCAUGGCAUUACAUAAUUCACAUAUAGAAUGCCUUGCAACAAGAUAGCAUUGCAUAAUUCACAUAUAUAAUGUCUUGCAACAAGAUGGCAUUGCAUAAUUCACAUAUAUGGUAAUUAGACACUAAACAGGUGGCAUUCACACAAAGCAUGUCUAAACUAAGCAAAUGACAUAGCAAUGCAAGAUACCAUACACACGAUAUGAGCAACAUAACUCUGCCAAGUUAGAGCAUGCACCUCGGGGGGGAUAGGACUGGUCAUCUGUCUCUGAAUCCUCCUCUGAGGAGCUAUCUGUAACCAGCAAGACAUGUGGUUCGUCAGAUAGCAUUAUCUGCUGUGAAGACCCUGUUUCCACUCCAGAUUUUUCCAUGACCGUGUUGAAUGGCUGAUGCAUAGGAAGAGUAAUUGAAUGUACUAAAAUUGUUGACAAAUUUAACACGUAAUAAAAAAAUGAUGUCAUGAUAUAAUUCACAUAUAAGAUGACUGGCUAACCAUGGUGGCAUUGCAAAAUUCACAUAUAUGAUGCCUGGGUAAACAAGAUGGCACUGCAUGAUUCACAUAUACGAUAAAGAAACUAAACAGAUGGCAUUGACACAAAGCAUGUCUAAACUAACCAGAUGACAUCUUUGAUGUAUACGUAAGCAAUGCAAGGCACCAUAUGCAUGAUAUUACCAACAUCAGCAUGCCAAGUUAGAGCGAAGACCUCAUGGGGUAAAUACGAGUGGUCUUCUGCUUCUGAAUCCCCCUCAGAACAGUUAUCUUCCUCUUGAUUACAAUCCGAAAUGGGUGGAGGGGGGCUGCCUUUGCGCCCACCAUGGAGCGGCAUCUGCAUGGAAUUUUAUUGCCAUGUAAGGCUCGUCUCUUUUGCUCUACAUGUUCAGUUCCAUUGUGUACAAUAACGGACAUGCAUAGGAAUAAAACAUAGUGAGAUUAUGUGAGGAAUGCAUGCACAAAUCCAGAGUGAUGGUAGCAAACUGUGGAUAGACCCAAAACCAAUGAUAGCAGGUAGAUAAUAGCUUUAGUUAAAAAAUUACAGAUAAUGGCUCCUUUAAUGUUUAUUUGCACCCAACAUGAAACUCAUAGUAGACACCAGAGAUUAACCAGAUAGUAGACAGAUAGUACUGAUUGCUGCCCCAAUAUGUACCCCACAACCAUUUAAAAACUCAAGUUUCAGCAUAAGUUUGGACCUGACUUUGAGUCUAAUAGGUGAACACGACGAUAAAGUAGCAUGUCAUCAUAUUAAGCGAUGCAUAACGUAAGCAGACACGGAAGAGUGCGACCUCUCUUGCGGACCCGUGUAGUCCUCAAGGUCAUCUGCUCAGUUGAUGAUGGUAAUGCAGUUGUCGUGGCUGUCGGCUGCGGGGAAGAAGAUCUGAGGCGGCGAAAGACAGUCUGGAGAGCGGAUCCCUACUGUGGUGAACCCUUCCAUCGUUGGAGCAGCUGAGCUGGGGUGGAACACAGCACCGCAGGAGCAGGACAAACCACACAAGGUUUUCUUUGACACAAUCUGCAACAGAAGUAAUUGUGUAAGGGUUUGUUUGAAUUUGAGGAUUCUAACAAUGCAUGGAUAGCAAAUAGACAGGAAUAGGAUAGGAAUGCAUGUGCAAAACAGAGAAUUUAAAAACAUAGGAUUUCCGCCAAUCUGGGUGUUUGGUUCACAAGAAUUGGAAGAACACAGGAUGCAAAGAAGCAUGUUGAGAUUAAGCCAAACCACAAGAAAAUGUACGGUUAUAAUUCUAUUAUGCUACUAUCUCUUAGUCGUGUGCUUCAUGAAUAGGAAUUUGAAAAGGAGGACAAGUGGAAAUUAAAAUUCCUAUGGUUUUUCUUUCAAGGAGACACUAAAGGAACAAAUCCUAUAGUUUUCCUUUGCUCCAUUCCUUUGCACCAAAUUCAUGAAAAGUAGUACCAUAGGAAACUUUCCAAUUCCUAUGUUUUUCAUUCACUUUUCCUUUCAAGCACUAGCGAUUCUAGUAGACAGGCUUGAGCAAGGAAAAGCCUACACUAAAAAAAUGUUUUUGUGCUACUUCUAUUACUAAAUUUCGUAGACAACCCCUUGAUGAGGAAUUGCCUAGUAAGGAUGAAAUUAUUGGUCUUGCUUCUAUUGUCGUGCCUCCUAAUGAUCCUUUAGAACAAUAUUUGCUUGACCAUGAAAAUGAUAUGUUCAUGAAUGAAAGAAGGGAAAUAGAUGAAGUAUUCUUUAAACAGGGACCUAUUCUGAAACACAACUUGCCUGUUGAAAUCCUAGGGGAUCCUCCUCCACCCAAGGGUGAUCCCGUGUUUGAGCUUAAACCAUUACCUGAUACUCUUAAAUAUGCUUAUCUUGAUGAAAAUAAGAUAUAUCAUGUUAUUAUUAGUGCUAACCUUUCAGAGAAGGAGGAAGAGAAAUUAUUGAAAACUCUGAAGAAGCACCGUGCUGCUAUUGGAUAUACUCUUGAUGAUCUUCAGGGCAUUAGUCCCACUCUAUGUCAACACAAAAUAAAUUUGGAGAAAGACGCCAAACCAGUUAUUGAUCACCUACGACGGCUAAAUCCUAAGAUGAAAGAAGUGGUAAGAAAGGAAAGAUUAAAGCUCCUUGAGGCAGGUAUAAUUUAUCCCGUUGUUGAUAGUCAGUGGGUAAGUCAUGUCCAUUGUGUCCCUAAGAAGGGAGGUAUUACUGUCGUUCCUAAUGAUAAAGAUGAAUUGAUCCCGCAAAGAAUUAUUACAGGUUAUAGGAUGGUAAUUGAUUUCUGCAAAUUAAAUAAAGCUACUAAAAAAGAUCAUUACCCUUUGCCUUUUAUUGAUCAAAUGCUAGAAAGAUUAUCCAAACAUACACAUUUUUGCUUUCUAGAUGGUUACUCUGGUUUCUCUCAAAUACCCGUGUCAGCUGAGGAUCAAGAAAAUACCACUUUUACUUGCCCUUUCGGUACUUUUGCUUAUAGACGUAUGCCUUUUGGUUUAUGUAAUGCACCUGCUACCUUUCAAAGAUGCAUGAUGGCUAUAUUCUUUGACUUUUGUGAAAAGAUUUGUGAGGUUUUCAUGGAUGAUUUCUCCAUUUAUGGAUCCUCUUUUGAUGAUUGCUUGAGCAACCUUGAUCGAGUUUUGCAGAGAUGUGAAGAAACUAACCUUGUCUGAAUUGGGAGAAGUGCCACUUUAUGGUUAAUGAAGGUAUUGUCUUGGGGCAUAAAAUUUCUGAAAGAGGUAUUGAAGUUGACAAAGCUAAAGUUGAUGCUAUUGAAAAGAUGCCGUGUCCCAAGGACAUUAAAGGUAUAAGAAGUUUCCUUCGUCAUGCCGGUUUUUAUAGGAGGUUCAUUAAGGACUUCUCAAAAAUUUCUCGGCCUCUGACUAAUCUCUUACAAAAAGAUAUUCCUUUUUUCUUUGAUGAUGAUUGUGUAGAAGCAUUUGAAAUACUUAAGAAAGCUUUGAUUUCUGCACCUAUUGUUCAGUCACCUGAUUGGAAUUUACCCUUUGAAAUUAUGUGUGAUGCUAGUGAUUAUGCUGUAGGUGCUCUUCCAGGACAAAGAGUUGAUAAGAAAUUAAAUGUUAUAAAAUAUGCCAGUAAAACUCUAGACAAUGCUCAGAGAAAUUAUGCUACUACUGAAAAAGAAUUUUUAGCAGUCGUGUUUGCUUGUGAUAAGUUCAGACCUUAUAUUGUAGACUCUAAAGUAACUGUUCACACCGAUCAUGCUGCUAUUAAAUACCUUAUGGAAAAGAAAGAUGCUAAACCUAGACUUAUUAGAUGGGUUGUCUUUCUACAAGAAUUUGAUUUGUGUAUUAUUGAUAGAAAGGGAGCUGAGAACCCCGUCGCAGACAACUUGUCUAGGUUAGAGAAUGUUCUCGAUGACCCACUACCUAUUGAUGAUAGCUUUCCUGAAGAACAAUUGGUUGUCAUAAAUGCUUCUCAUGCUGCUCCAUGGUAUGUUGAUUAUGCUAAUUAUAUUGUUGCUAAGUUCAUACCACCUAGUUUCACAUACCAGCAAAAGAAAAGGUUUUUCUAUGAUUUAAGACAUUACUUUUGGGAUGACCCACAUCUUUAUAAAGAAGGAGUAGAUGGUGUUAUUAGACGUUGUAUACCUGAGCAUGAACAGGAACAGAUCCUACGCAAGUGUCACUCCGAAGCGUAUGGAGGACACCACGCUGGAGAUAGAACUGCACAUAAGGUAUUGCAAUCCGGUUUUUAUUGGCCUACUCUCUUCAAGGAUGCCCGUAAGUUUGUCUUAUCUUGUGAUGAAUGUCAAAGAAUUGGUAAUAUUAGUAGACGUCAAGAAAUGCCUAUGAACUAUUCACUUGUUAUUGAACCAUUUGAUGUUUGGGGCUUUGAUUAUAUGGGACUGUUUCCUUCCUCUAAUGGGUAUACACAUAUUUUAGUUGCUGUUGAUUACGUUACUAGGUGGGUAGAAGCUAUUCCAACUAGUAGUGCUGAUCAUAACACCUCUGUUAAGAUGCUUAAAGAAGUUAUUUUUCCGAGGUUUGGAGUCCCUAGAUAUUUAAUGACUGAUGGUGGUUCACAUUUUAUUCAUGGUGCUUUUCAUAAAAUGCUUGCUAAAUAUGAUGUUAAUCGUAGAAUUGCAUCUCCAUAUCAUCCGCAGUCUAGUGGUCAAGUAGAAUUGAGUAAUAGAGAGCUCAAAUUAAUUUUGCAAAAGACUGUUAAUAGAUCUAGAAAGAAUUGCUCCAAGAAACUUGAUGAUGCAUUAUGGGCCUAUAGAACUGCGUAUAAAAAUCCUAUGGGUAUGUCUCCGUACAAAAUGGUUUAUGGAAAAGCAUGUCACUUACCUCUCGAACUAGAACAUAAGGCAUAUUGGGCUAUUAAAGAGCUCAUUUAUGAUUUCAAACUUGCCGGUGAGAAGAGGCUAUUUGACAUUAGCUCACUUGAUGAAUGGAGAACCCAAGCCUAUGAGAAUGCCAAACUAUUUAAAGAAAAAGUUAAAAGAUGGCAUGACAAAAGGAUACAAAAGCGUGAGUUUAAUGUAGGUGAUUAUGUGUUACUAUUCAACUCUCGUUUAAGAUCUUUUGCAGGAAAACUUCUCUCUUAAUGGGAAGGGCCUUACGUUAUCGAGGAGGUCUAUCGUUCCGGUGCCAUAAAAAUCAACAACUUCGAAGGCACAAAUCCGAAGGUGGUGAACGGUCAAAGAAUCAAACAUUAUAUCUCAGGUAAUCCUAUAAAUGUUGAAACUAAUGUUAUUGAAACCGUAACCCCGGAGGAAUACAUAAGGGACACUUUCCAGAACGUUUCAGACUCUGAAAAGGAAUAGGUAUGUGGUACGGUAAGUAAACCGACUCCAAAACAGUUCUAAUGGCAAUUUUUCUCCGUUUUGGAAUAUUUAAGAAAAUAGGAAAAUAAGAAGUAGUCCGGGAAGGACACGAGGCUUACACGAGGGUGGAGGGCGCGCCCUACCCCCCCUGGGCGCGCUCCCCUGCCUCGUGGGCACCUCGUGUGCUCUCCAGACUCCGUUUUCUUGCACGAUACUUCUUUUGGUCGGUAAAAAUUCAUUAUAUAAUCUCCCAAAGGUUUUGACCACCGUACCAUGCAAAUAUCCUCUGUUUUUGUUUCGAGCUGUUUCUGUAGCAGAUCUAGAGCAAGAUGUCAUCUCAGGAUUCCAACAGAGAGAGCUAUGUCUCACACCUCAUUGCUGACCCAAAGACCUAUGGGGAUCUGUCUCCUUGUGGUCGAACUACGGAUGAGGAGGAGGAUGCUCAUUUCAUGAGGAUCAAUGAUUCAAGCUCAGAGGAGGAGGAUGUCCCUCUACCUCAACCUGGGGAUAUGCACGUGAAGUUCAAGAAGUCUAGUCUCCCUAAGAGGGCUAAACUGUCUAACAACCGAUCUAUUCCUUCUCUUUUUCAGCAGAAAAGCAAAGGAGAUUUAUGUGACAAGAUCUUGAAGCUGGAAUCGGAGGUCGAUGAUUUAAAGGAGGAAAUUGCUCUUCUCAAUUACAAUAUGAAGAAGCUGAAAACACAAUUUUCAUCAUCAACAACUCCAUCAUCACCACCCCCGAGGAAAGAGACAUAAUCACAUGGGUAUGGGCACUCGCCUUGGCAACUGCCAAGCUUGGGGGAGGUGCCCCGGUAUCGUAUCAUCAUCACACUCCUAUCUUUACCGUUUUUCUUAGUUCGAUCCUUUUGGUAAUAUCUUGAUCUAGUAGAAUAAAGUUUUAGUAUGAUUUAGUUUUGAGUUUUGCCUUAUGAUCCUCCUAUGUAAUCGAGUCCGUGAGCUAUAUAUAAUAAAGAUUAGUGUUGAGUCAAGGGCUUGAUUACUUUGCUUUGAUCUUGAGGGAAUAAAAGAAAAGGAAAAAAUAAAAAGAAAUAAAGAGAUCAUAUUGAUCUUAUGGAGAGUAAUGACUUCACAUAUAAAGAGUAUGAUGAAUAAAACUUAUUGAGGGUUGACAGACAUAGUUUUGGUCAUCAUUGCAAUUAAUAGGAAGUAAUAAAGAAAGAGAGGUUUUCACAUAUAAAUACACUAUCCUGGACAUCUUUUAUGAUUGUGAGCACUCAUUAAAAUAUGACAUGCUAAAGAGUUGAUGUUGGACAAGGAAGACAACGUAAUGGGUUAUGUUUUCUUAUAUCUGAAAUAAAGUAUAUUGUCAUGGAUCAUCCAACAUGUUGAGCUUGCCUUUCCCUCUCAUGCUAGCCAAAUUCUUUGCACCAAGUAGAGAUACUACUUGUGCUUCCGAAUACCCUUAAAACCAGUUUUGCCAUGAGUGUCCACCAUAUCUACCUAUGGAUUGAGUAAGAUCCUUCAAGUAAUUUGUCAUCGUUGCAUGCAAUAAAAAAUUGCUCUCUAAAUAUGUAUGAUUUAUUAGUGUGGAGAAAAUAAGCUUUAUACGAUCUUGUGAUGUGGAAGAAAUAAAAGCGACGGACUGCAUAAUAAAGGUCCAUAUCACAAGUGGCAAUAUAAAGUGACGUUCUUUUGCAUUAAGAUUUCACGCAUCCAACCAUAAAAGCACAUGACAACCUCUGCUUCCCUCUGCGAAGGGCCUAUCUUUUACUUUUAUCCUCUACCUUAUGUAAGACUCAUGGUGAUCUUCACCUUUCCUUUUUACAUUUUAUCCUUUGGCAAGCACAUUGUGUUGGAAAGAUCCUAAUAUAUAUAUCCAAUUGGAUGUGAGUUAGCAUGAAUUAUUAUUGUUGACAUUACCCUUGAGGUAAAAGGUUGGGAGGCAACACUAUAAGCCCCUAUCUUUCUCUGUGUCCGAUUAAAACUCCAUAACCACAAGUAUUGCGUGAGUGUUAGCAAUUGUGAAAGACUAAAUGAUAGUUGAGUAUGUGGACUUGCUGAAAAGCUCUUAUAUUGACUCUUUCCUAUGUUAUGAUAAAUUGCAAUUGCUUCAAUGACCGAGAUCAUAGUUUGUUAGUUCUCAAUGAAGUUUCUGAUUCAUACCUUACAUUGUGAAUAGAUUAUUACUUGAGCAUAAGAAAUCAUAUGACAAUAUCAAUAUAUAUUGCUGUUAUAGGAAUGAUCAUGAUGCCCUCAUGUCCGUGUUUUAUUUUAUCGACACCUCUAUCUCUAAACAUGUGGACAUAUUUAUCUAUAUAUGUUGCUGUUAUAAGAAUGAUCGUGAUGCCCUCAUUCAUGACUCACCUCGAGUGUGCAUGUAUAAAGAGAAAGAAGCCGAGCGUGACGUGGCAAAAGCCCGCUCCGCAUUCUAUCAGCAAUAGGCUCGACGGUACCAAAGCAGAGAAGUACGGGCCAAAACUUAUAACGUUGGUGAACUCGUUCUAUGCCUACCGGAGAAGAAAAAGAACAAGCUCAAGCCCAAAUGGGAAGGUCCCUUUGUUAUUGACAAAGUUCUGACCGGUGGAGCAUACCGUCUGCGGGAUGCGUCGGACAAUCGACUCGAGCCAAACCCAUGGAACGCAGCCAGACUCCGAAGGUUCUACACCUAGUGCCGGACUCUGUGUUCGUCUCCUUACCUCCGUCAAUUUUUUAUAUAUACGCUAUCUUUCUUUUCUUUCUUUCUUUCUUCCCUUUUUCUUCACAGCCUUAACAGGUUGAAAUGUGUCUUGACUACACAAUCUUGACGCGCUAGGCGUGCUCAUUAUACCUGGGGGCUUCUUAUACAGAAGCUUAAUAUAACUAUGUUCCGGGCUCUAUGCCCCCCGCACAUGUGUUACUUUUCCACAUGUACCUUUUCUUCGCCAUUAUAUGCAUCGAUAUGACUUAAGUUUUGGCCAAGCUGGGUUGCCUGGCUCUUGUGUUUAUGCCCUACGUUCCCGUUAAUUCGGCUAGGGCAUAAGGGGAGCACCUCUGCGAUUGUUACUGUCGGGUCAGCUGGAUGUGUACCUCAGACUGGGUGAAGCCGAAAGCUAGCGUUCUUAAGGGAAUAUUCGGUCGGUGAACAAAAGAUGACUUUUAUUUAUUGUAAUACAUGCCCCCAGAUGUUUAUAUCCUGCGUCUCUUUUCGCAGUUCGGACAUGCACAUUAAUGCAUGCGUACCCAGGGAAAGGAACCCUUAAUGGAACUAUUCUCCCUGGAAGAUGUUUCUUACUAUCCAUGUAAUAUAACAUAGCUAGUUGGGUACUUGUCGGUUCAAGCACUAUUGACCCCUACGCCUGGUUUCCACGCGUACCCCGGUUUUUACAUAACUGAGCGGGUAUUCGGAUACACUCCGGACUGUCGGGUCCGGGGGUCGAAGCUAAAAGGUCCGCCAUGACAAAUGAUUUACAAUCCGGCUAGGGAUAAUAUAUGUCACUUGAAGUACACAGUCAUUUAGAGUGACUAAAUUCUUCUUCUAUACCAUCCAACAGGCUGUCUAGCCUACAAUCCUAUUGCGAAUACUUUGUGGGAAAUUUCACCUGGUCAUACACCAAACUGGCAGGGAUCUCUUUCCCGUCAGACCCCACAGGUCCGACUUCGGCCAUAUGGUUCGGGUCAGCCUUGGUAUAUCGAGUCUUCACCAUGGCCCAGGCUUCCCUUGCACCUUGUCGGCAGGCAGAUAUCUUCCAUAAUCGGAAGCGCCGCCGCGCUCCCCUGAGCAUCUCUACGAGCUCCCCCCAUGCCUCCUGGCAGGGAGGCGGAUGGCCACAAGGCCUGGGCAACACCAUGCAUCACCUGCCGAACUUGUUCGUGCAGUUGUGAGAGCUCUGGCAGAAGAUCACCCGCAGACCCGGGCAUCUCCUCUGCGGGACGACCCGUCAGCAUACCUACAGAUGUAACUCUGUUAGCCGGUUUCUUCGCCGAACUCUAUAAAAGUUCGUUCAAGCACUUACUAAAAAUGCCGCGUCGAAGCCUCUUAUUCUCCUUUACGGAGUCAGCAAGUUGGGCCCGAACAUCUUUCAGUUCAACGCCCAACCAGGUAUUGGCAUCUUGGAGAUCGUUUUUCUCCCGCCUAACCUGCAUAAGCACGCGCUCGCCAGCCUUUAGCUAUCGUUGAGCAUGUUGCUCAUCCCCUCGCAUGACCUCCGGAUUCACUCCGGGAUCAUCUGCAGAAUCUAUUGUUAGAUUUGCAUUCAUGCUGAAUACUACCUGGUACAUGUCAUUCUUUUCGAUAGAAACAAGUGUUACCAGAUGGGGCCUUCUCGAACUCCUUCAUUGCGGCAACUGCGGCCCGUAGCUGGGCUUUACACUCCUCCAGAUCUUGAGACAACCGGGUAUCCUUCUCCGUAAGAACCUACGCAAACAAUGAUCCUUAAAUUAGUUGUGCCAACUGUUUCAAGUCUCAAGGGCGACUGAUAUACAUAAUUAUUAGAUUUUCUUACCCGUAUAUCCUUUACAUACUGGUCCGUGGCUCUGGCAAGACCAUUUUGAGCAGCUCGGAUGUACGUGUCUCCUGAGUUGAAGGCAUCGAACGCCUCUUGAGAGAAACAAGCGUCACGGAGUACGGCCCGAUGACGCCUGUGAUUCAUGGCACUCUCCACUUCGGAAUUCGUAGCGGACAGCCUAUCCGCAUCCUCUGUAGGAGGAACAUCUGGUGUUGGCCCCACGUUAGCGUCUACCUCUAAGUCCGGCGCUGGAGCCCGGCUGGUGGAGGCGUGGCCGGCAGGCUCUCCGGAUAUGGUCCGGUGAGCGUUUUUCCUGCCAGGAACCAUGGACGUUAUUAUAUUUUAAAAGAUGACAACCACGGAGCGGGGUUCUUUUUCAUACCUCUGUGACGGCGUCUCAGUCCUGACCACCUUCCUUUUAAGCCUACCCGGUUUUGGUGCCCCUUGUUGGUGAGUCACUGCGGGUUCGGCAUGGCAUCCCGAGGACCAUCCCUGUAAGACACCAUAUGUGUGCAGUAGGUGAAGUGCGAAAAAGGGAUCCUUCUCGGAAGUUGGGACUCCGGUUUUACUUACAUGCGAUGCAGGGAGCAGUCCAGGAUAAUCGGCUAUGAUGGCCACCAAGGCACCGUCGCGGCUUAAUUGAUAGAACGUCCUGUCGAUAAGCUCCACAAAUGUGUCCGGAUCUUCUUCGAGUCCGGGGUCGAGGGCCCGGUCAGGGUCCUCUGGUUGUGGAGAUGGGCUGUGGACCUCCCUCACAGCUUUUCGCAGUUCCUGCUAUGAAAUAGCAAGGUAAAUACUUAUGACGAAGAAUGUGGGAAGGAUCGGAGUAAAAAGUAGCAGCUCACCCAGUUUGGGGGGUUGUACAUGGAGAAUCCAUCUCGUGGCUUAAUGCGGAUGAACUCCUCUUCCUCUCCUUUAUAUAAAUCGGACAGUAUUUUCGCUAGAGCAGCGAUGGAGUCGUGUCCCUUACGACCGCAGCGGGUGGCAUCGUCUUCUCCAUCGAAGUGCCACAUAGGUUGUCCCCGAUAUUGAAGUGGCUGCACCCCCUGCAUUAUACAUAUUGACAUAACCUCGAUUAUAGUCAAUCCUGAUUUGGCCAGCGUUUUAUCCGGCCCAUUGGGUAAAGGACCUCUCCGUUAUCUUCCUCCUGGGGGCUCCGAGGGCGCCAGCUGCGGCAUUUCUUCAAAGGGGCGUUAUUGAACUCAGGAAGGCCCAUCCGAAUAGGGUCCGAAAGGGGGACGUCUUCCAUAUAAAACCACUCCGAAGGCCAGUCUUCGGAUGACUUCUUCGGAGUACCGGACAGGUGUCCGGUCCCGGCGAUGCGCCAUAUCUCGGCUCUGCCCACUUGAUAUAUUGACCCCUCGUGUGUAUGGGGUACGAGGCAAAAUAGCCUCUUCCAUAGCUCGAAAUGAGCUUCGCAGCCCAGAAACAGCUCGCAAAGGGCGACAUAGCCAGCGAUGUGUAAUAUGGAGGCGGGAGUAAAGUUAUGCAGCUGGAGGCCGUAGAACUCCAAGACCCCGUGGAGGAACGGGUGGAUUGGAAAUCCAAGUCCCCUUAAUAAGUAAGGGACAAGGCAUACCCGCUCCCCCAUGGAUGGGUUGGGAAAGCUCUCCGCUUGCUCCCCACCGUUAUAAGUGGCUAGUUCGGCUCGAACGGGGACCAUAUACGCUGGAGGGAGAAACCCCUGGGUCUGUAACUCUACUAAUUGGCUAUGGGGGACGGAACACUUCUUCCAAUUGCUUGGCUUAGGGCUACGGGAGCGGGAGGAGGAGCUGCGAUGGCCGGCCAUGAUGGGAUGGACUUUUCUGGGCGCGCUCCGAUGGAUACUCACUGUGGGAGGAUGGUGUGAUCUGGAUCUGAGGAUCCCCGUCUCUUUAAAUAGACGAUUUACUCACAUGGUUAGGGUGGCAAGUGUAAAAAUGCCCCGACUUCUCGAAUUCGCUCGACACGUGGAGGACAGCCAUUAUUGGGCGCAGAAGCCAAGGAGUGCAACAUUUAUGGGAAGCCAGACACUACUUGACAGGUACUCAGAAUUUGGAGAAGAACCCGCCUUGCAAUGCCGAAGACAAUCUGCGCGCCGGACUCAUCGUCAUUGAAGCCUGGUUCAGGGGCUACUGAGGGAGUCCUGGAUUAGGGGGUCCUCGGACAGCCGGACUAUAUACUUUGGCCGGACUGUUAGACUAUGAAGAUACAAGAUUGAAGACUUCGUCCCAUGUCCGGGUGGGACUCUCCUUUGCGUGGAAGGCAAGCUUGGCAAUUCGGAUAUGUAGAUCUCCUCCCUUGUAACCAACUUUGUGUAACCCUAGCCCCCUCCGGUGUCUAUAUAAACCAGAGGGUUUAGUCUGUAGGACAACAACAAUCAUAAUCAUAGGCUAGCUUCUAGGGUUUAGCCUCUACGAUCUCGUGGUAGAUCAACUCUUGUAAUACUCAUAUCAUCAAGAUCAAUCAAGCAGGAAGUAGGGUAUUACCUCCAUCGAGAGGGCCCGAACCUGGGUAAACAUUGUGUCCCCCGCCUCCUGUUACCAUCCGCCUUAGACGCACAGUUCGGGACCCCCUACCCGAGAUCCGCCGGUUUUGACACCGACAGCGUCCUUCUCCAACAUAGCUCUCUGACUCCACGUCGCCGCCAAGAAGCUAACCGGUCGUCAGUGGUCAACCCGCCUAGCUUGUCAUAACGAUUAGGGCAACUAGGAGCCCAAUGAUCAGGAUCCCCACAUGACAAACACCUUUCUUCUUGUCAUUCUUCUUCUUGAAGUUCGUGUGUUGCACAGCCUUGUUCUUCCCAUCAAACUUUGCUUUACCAUCAAACUUUCCCUUGUUCUUGAACUUGUGGGGCUAGAAGUUCUUCCUCUGUACCAGAUUGGCACUAGAUCCUCCCUCAAUUCCUCGAGCACGUGUGUCCUUUGCUCUCGCCUUUUCUUCCACAUCAAGAGUGCCAAUGAGAUCCACGAAGGAGGAAGCUUAGUGAUGAUACCUCCGGUAACAAACUUGUCUGGUAGCAUAUAACUGAAGUGCUCAAGUUCUCUAGAAAAUGACUGUAUUUCAUGAGCUUGCUCAACCACAGAGCGCUCUUCAAUCAUCCUGUAAUCAUAGAAUUGCUCCAUGAUGUACAUCUCAGUGCCAGCAACCGGAGGGUAGCAGCGGUGGCCUUACUUUGACCCGAGCGGCAGCGACCUACCGUGUUCUACUCUUCCUCGUUUUCUGUGUGGCGCGGCCUCAUUGGCAGCGGGGCAGGGCCUCGGCGGAGCCGGCGAUGUCCUCUGUCUCGUUGCCGGCGGGCGGCGCCUCGGCGGAGCGGGGGAAAUCCUCCCCUUCAUUGCCGACAGGGUGGGGCCUCGGCAGAGUCGGCGGUGUCCUAUGCCUCGUUGUUGGCGCCGCGGGGCCUCGGCGGAGCUGGGCCUCGUCAACGCCAGCGGAGCGGGGACUCGUCGGAGCCGGCAUUGUCCUCUGCCUCGUCCUCGGUCUCGCCAAACAGCGCCUGGCCCGCUUCAUCACCCUUUUUGUAGGCGGCCACAGCCUCCGCCACCCGCAUGCGGUACCGCCAGCGCUCGAGGCAGCCCUCGCGGGCAGAGCGGUAUGAGUCGAGCAGCACCUCCUGCUCCGCCCGCUCCGCGGCGAUCUGCUCCUCCGCCUGCAUGUGCUCCUGGGGGAGAUGGUGGUUGUAGGCGGCGUCGGCCUGCGCCUCCCGGAACUGCUCCUCACGCUUCUGCCUCACCGUGUCCAUAUAUUGGGCACGGGCCUCGCCAAUGGUCAUGGUGCAAUGCACCGGCUAGGAUGGCGCGGAGGAGGGGGUUGGCGCCAGAUCAUCGACUACCAUGUUCUCCAUUGGAACGUCGUCAUCCUCCGGCUGCCUGCAAGCCAGCCAGUCGGCAGCAAUGGCUGCCAUCUCCUUGUGGUCUGUCGUCCGCCCGUCCCAAAGAGCGCUGGAGCACGAGGAAGCCAUGGUGGGCAGUAGUGGUGUGGACAGGAGAAACGGAACGGAUGUGGAUGACUGCGGCUAUGGUCGGUGCAGCAGUUUAUGUAGCAAUGGUGGGCGGCGGAGGGACGGACUUGUGGUGCCAGAGUAGCCGCCUCAGCAAUCGCAUAUCAUUAAUGUGGGCGGCAGAAGGACGGACGGACGGACGGCACUUGUGUCGUUUGAAGGCGGAGCAAUCGCCUACACCGGGAAGCGGGGCGGGCGGCGCUGACCGUUUCGGGCGGAAAGCGCGCGCGGGCGAGGGAGGCGGUCUGGGUGGACCAGGGCAGUCAGACUCGUGCUUGGCAGCGGGUCGGUCCAGCAGCCAGACAUGCUGGCUCGCCAGCUAGCUCGCCGAGCUGAGCGACAACAAUCAGACGAUGGACGUAGCUUCUGACCAGGAGCUGGCACCACUGUCCAAUCCGGUUCAUGCCGUGUUCACCAUAGAGCAGGUGCGGCCGCACUUCGACGCCCUAAUGGAGGAAGAGCUACCAGCGCAGGAGGACCUGUGUUGCAACCUCCGUCUCCUCAACGAGCACCGGUGAACAAGCGAACGACAAUGCCGUCGUGGACAUGUGGCCCUAUGAUCCUGGCUUCCUGAAUGAGCAGCGGGCGAUGUAUCAGACCAUCCGUAGGGCCCGGGAGUCCCUCUCUGUCGUCCUUCAAGUUGUUGCGCUCGCCAUGGCGCCGCCGUCUCGCGUUGUCAACAUGGUUAACGGACAUGAGGAUGAGGAGAUGACUUUAGUUGGAGAGGAUGAUAGUGGGGACCCACCAGGGCCAUAGCCGCACGUACGCAAGAGCCUCCUUAUUAGUAUAUAAAACUAUAUUAAUUUUUUGCUUCCUCCUGGUUUCCUGACAUCACGGUCCCACACCAUUGUCAACCUAUGUAGUCAAUAAACGAGAGAAUUGCACAAGAAGCGGCCGACAGCUGGGACCAAGCAGCUCGAGCAGUAUUUGUGUUUUUGAGGUGUGAGCACUGCAGAGUUUUUCUUGAGCGAUGUUUAGCCCAGAUUUUAAUUUUUCUCCUCUGAACAACAAUGAAAACAUCGCUGCAGCUAUUAACUGGGCAGGCUGUGGCCCGUCUAGCCCAGGCCAGAUAUCCAGCCCAGAUAUUAAUUUUUUUUCAAGCUGAAAAUGGCUAGCCCAGCUAUACUUUUUUAAGGAAUACCCAGGCAAGGUCAAAAUGUUAUUCUCCGCCCCGCUGGGCUGCAAAUCUUUCCUAGGAGGGAUGCAUUAGGCUUAACAAGAAAAUGGGCUUUAAGAAAUAAUAAAUGGGAUGUAAUUAUAAAAACUAGGCAGUAACUAUAAAAAAUGCACCAAACACGUAAUUACUUUAUAAAAUAUUGUUUUUGGAUAUUGAAAAUUUUAAUUUCAUUAAUUGUUCCGAGCGCAAUGUUUUGUUGGAUUUUUACGUAAUAUAAAUUUAUAUUGAAAUUGUAUUUAAUCUGACUAGAAAUUUCGGGAUAAAAAUAUUUCGGAUCCCAUCAAAAUGUGGGAAAUUUUAUUGAAUUCUGUUUUGAACGGUUGGUUGAAAUGGGCUGUACUUUUAACAAACUAUAAAUGUGUUGUAGUAAAUUCCAUUAGAAUUGAAAAAUUGGCUGCACAUUCUUAGAAAUCUCAAAUGGGCUAUAAGUUCUCUGCCACACACUUGUGGCCUUAGUAAGUUGACGCGUCCCCUAAAAAAAGAGUUGACACGUAUGCAAGGCUUUGUCAACUUAUAGUCAACACACGGUUCUAGCAGCAGUGGCCGUUGGAUGUCCAUCCAACGGAUGCCGUGCUUCUUCUUCAAUAUCGGAUAUUCUAGCUUCACCCGCCCAAAAAAUGAUUCCUCCCCCUAACAUCUGGGGCGCACCAUUUCAGAAGCUGACCUAUGGGUCUACUAAGUUGACGCGUACCAAGGGCUUUGUCAACUUAGUCAAUAUAUAUGAUUCUAGAUGCAGUGACUGUACGAUGUCCAUCCAACGGCCGUCGUGCUUCUUCAACCUCUGGUCUUCUUGCUCCAGCCGCCCAAAGUAGCGCCGGUCGUGCCGCCUGCUUCUGCCUCCCGUGGUCGGCUGUGCUGCCGCGGAGGGCUCACCGCACCCUACUACUCCCACCGCUGGCCAGCCAUCCCUCUACUCAACCACACCCCAUGUUAUUCUACGACGACGACAGCCUCACACCGCAGCCGAACCAGUGAACCCUCGUACUCCUCUCCGUGUGGGUAUCCACUGCCGCGUCAUCCCCUUCCUAGGCCUCGCCGUCGUCCACCGCCGUGGUGCUCUCGGCACGGCGUGUUCAAUGUGGUCAACGACCGACUUCCAUCGGAAGAGUACUGUACGUGGAGAGGCUGGCAGCUGGGUCCACGGCAGCCGCAAGGAAGUGCCUCCUUAUUACACGCAAAAUAAUUAUUCCUCCACCUGAUAGCGGGGACCCACCGGAUGGGCCACCGUAUUUUGCAAAAAAAACAUUUCCCCCUCGACUGCUGGGACCCACCAGCUACAUCUUCGCACGCAAGGAAGUGCGUCUGGGCAAAAAAACGAUUCGCCCCCCUAACUGUUGUGACCCACCAGCUACAUCUUCGCACACAAGGAAGUGCCUGACAGUCGGGACCCACCUGGUCGAAGCGUACGUAGCAUUGUCAUUCUAGUCGCGAACGUGUACGUACAUACUGGUCCAUGUAGAGGCACGCACAUUUCGUAGCAGAGGCGCGCACGUAGCAUGUACACGUACGUACAGCGGCCAGUGUGCAAGAAAGAAAAUACGGCCACGUACGUACAUACGGGCAGGGUCUCGAACGCCUACUCGUGCAAACGUACGGCCAGGGCUCAUGUACAUGGCUGGGUCGGAAUGGAGAAACAACGUCGUCGUCGUGUUCAUGGGGAGCCAACCAGCUGGGUCGGAACGGAAUGCGUCGUCGUGUUCAUCGGGAGGGCUUGGACGAAACAGCCGAUGGAAACGAGGCCUGGCGUACCGCACAACGGAGGAAACGGCCUUGUGUUCGACCGGCCACGUUCGAAACGGGAUCCUGUUCAUCGGGAGGGGUCUGGCGUACCGCAAAACAGAGGAAACAGACCUCCUACGGUCGAAACGGGGUCCUGUUGAUCGGGAGGGGUGUGGCGUACCGCAAAACGGAGGAAACGGACUUGUGUUGGAGCGCUACGGUCGAAACGGGGGUCCUGUUCAUCGGGAGGGGUGUGGCGUACCGCAAAACGGGACUCCAAGGGAUACUGUUCAUCUCCACUGUCGACCCCCUCCAGCCUCCACAGGCUACUGUUCAUCCACCGUCGACCUCCUCCAGCCUCCACCUGCGACUGUUCAUCCACGGGCUCCUGUUCAUCCAGCCUCCACCGCGCGCUACUCCACCGGCUACUGUUCAACCUGCCCUCUCCACACGGGCUCCUGUUCAACCACCCCUCCACAGGCUACUGUUCAUCCAACCCUCCACCGUCUACUGUUCAUCCAGCCCUCCACGGGGUCGUCCUGUUCAUCCAGCCCUCCACGGGGUCCUGUUCAUCUAGCGCCAACCGGCUCGAUCGAUCGGGGUCCUGUUCAUCCAGAGGCAACACCACGGGGUCAUGUUCAUCCACCCGCACCGGGAACUGUUCAUCCAAACCCACCCCCCAGCAACGCUCACUGUUCGUCCAGAGGCAGCAUCGAUUGGCUUCAGUUAGCAGCAGUAGCGAAGGAAUCGCUCGAUCGGGUUCAGUUAACAGCCAUCAAUCGAUCACUCGGGUUCAGUAACGCGUAGCCUGCAGUGCAAUCGCUCGGGUUCAGUAGGCGAACGCCUCGCUCAGGUUCAGUUAGAGCCCAACGCCUCGCACCCACGCGCGUGCGUGUAUGAGAGAAAUGCGCAAACCGCCGUGCAUCGCUCGGCCCCGACCACCCACCGUAACCGGGAACACCCCGAUAUUUUCCUCGCCCUUGCUUCUACCACGGUUUUUUCCGUCAUGGACGGCCCAAAGAAUGUCAUGUAGCUGCGUCUCCGGCCCGCCCAGGACAAAAAGCCCAUUUUCUGUCUUGAUUUUUUGUCAUAGAAGUAGGAGCCCACCACAUCUAUGAUGAUACCGGGUUUUGUUACAAUUAUCAUCAUAAAAGUGUCAUAAGUAUGAAAGAAAAAAUUUCGUUCGGCCCAAAAUGUCACGGAUGUGUCUUUUUUUGUAGUGUUUCCACUCCUUAUUCUCCUCAUAUCGAUAUCUCACCCAAAGCUUGAAAACUUCAAUCACACAAAACUUAACGGAACUUCGUGAGAUAGGUUAGUAUGAUAAAGAGUAGACCAUUCACAUUGGUACUGUCAAAGCCAUGGUUCAUAAUUGUUCUCACACAAUGCCUACUGUACCAUAUCAUUUCUACAAUUUAUAUUGAGAAGUAUAAGCCAUAGAAACUAGAAAACAAGCAAACUAUGCAAUGAAAACAGAAUCUGUCAGAAACAGAACAGUCUGUGAUGAUCUGAACAGCAACCAUACUUUUGCUACUCCAAAAAUUAUGAAAUAAUUUUGUGGACGUGAGGAAUUUGUCUAUUAAUCUUCUGCAAAAAUAAUCAACUCAAAAUCACUCUUCUGUAAAAAUGACAGCUAAUCCCGUGACCGCAAAGUUUCUGUUUUUUUACAGCAAGAUCACAUUAACUUUCACCCAAGUCUUCCCAAAGGUCUUACUUGUCACUUUAUUGAAACAAAAGCUAUAAAACAUGAUUACUACAGUAGAUUAAUCAUGUAAACACACAAAAACAGUAAGGGUAAAUAUUGGGUUGUCUCCCAACAAGCACUCUUUCUUUAAUGCCUUUUAGCUUGGCAUGAUGAUUUCAAUGAUGCUCAUAUAAAAGAUAAGGAUUGAAACAUAAAGAGAGCAUCAUGAAUAAUAUGACUAGCACAUCUAAAUCUAACCCACUUCCUAUGCCUAGGGAUUUUGUGAGCACAUAAUUUAUAGGAACAAGAAUCAACUAGCAUAGGAAGGAAAAACAAGUAUAACUUCAAAACUUUAAUCACAUAGAGAGGAAACUUGAUAUUAUUGCAACUCCUACAAGCAUGUAUUCCUCCCUCAUAAUAAUUUUCAGUAGCAUCAUGAAUGAGUUUAACAAUAUAACCAUCACAUAAAGCAUUCUUUUCAUGAUCUACAAGCAUAGAAAUCUUACUACUCUCCACACAAGCAAAAUUCUUCUCAUUCGGAAUAGUGGGAGCAAACUCAACAAAAUAACUGUCAUGUGAGGCAUAAUCCAAUUGAAAGUUAAAAUCAUGAUGACAAGUUUCAUGGUUAAUAUUAUUAUUUAUAGCAUACAUGUCAUCACAAUAAUCAUUAUAGAUAGCAACUUUGUUCUCAUAAUCAAUUGGAACCUCUUCCGAAAUAGUGGAAUCAUUACUAACUAAAGUCAACACUCUUCCAAAUCCACUUUAGAUGAUAGUAUUAUUCAUACUCCAAAAGAUAUAAGUGAAGUUCAUGGAGUAUUCUACAAUUAAUAUAGACUAACCAAUAACCAAGCUCAAAAUAUAUAAGUGAAGCACACGAAGCAUUCUAUAAAACCAUACUCAAAAGAUUUAAAUGAAGCACAAAGAACAUUCUAUAAGGUCAUACUCAAAAGAUAUAAGUGAAGCACAUGAAUCAUUCUAUAAAUCGAUGAAGGGAUAUCUCAUACUAGCGUGGUUCUUAAAAAAAAGAAAAACACAAAGGACACAAAUCAUGUGAACAAAACAAAAACCAAGGUAUGCCGAUAAUUGUUGAAGAAGAAAGAUGGGAUGCCAACCGGGGCAUCCCCAAGCUUAGAUGCUUGAGUAUCCUUGGAAUAUUUACUGGGGUGCCUUGGGCAUCCCCAAGCUUGAACUCUUGCCUCUCUUUAUUCUUCUCACAUUGGCAACUCCUCGUUCUUCGAACACUUCAUCCACAAAAACUUAACAAAAACUUUGUCAGAUCCGUUAGUAUACUAAAGCAAAUCACUACCUUUAGGUGCUGUUGCAAACUCAUUCCAAUUUCAUAUUAGCACUUUAUCUACUGUAUUCCAACUUCACCAUGGUUCAUACCCCCCGAUACUACCCAUAGAUUCAUCAAAAUAAGCGAUCAACACAUAGAAAACAGAAUCUGUCAAAAACAGGACAGUCUGUAGUAAUCUGGAGGUUUAGUAAACUUCUGUAACUCCAAAAAUUUCUAAAAAAAUAUGACAAUUUAAAAAAUUUGUACAGAAGUAAUGUGCAAAAAGUUCCAGACCCAUUUGACUUUCUAGUAAAAAAAUGUAAAUUCACGCGCUAUAGCCAAAGUUUCUGUUUUGUACUGCACAUAGUAAACAAGCAAUCUAAUCAUCCUAAAACCAAAGCCUGACACAUUAUUUUUAUAAUACAAUGGAUAUAUACAAGGGGGUAAUUAUUUUCAGAGAAGCUUCCAUGAAUUUUUUUACAUUUUUUCCAUGAGCAUGAACACAAGUGUUGAAGGUUGACCCUCACUUCCCAAUGCACAACCUUCCAAUCACUUCUCUUAUUGAAAAACUUUUUAGGCAUGAGAGGCAGGGUUUUUUUUGUAUUUUCAUUCUUUAAAAAAAAUGUAUGUUUAACCCACAACUAAACAGAAACAAAAAGGAAAAACAAAAUCUACUUAGUGAAGAAAGCAAACAAGCACACACGAGAAUAUCAACCCCACGCUAUUGCUCCCUGGCAACGUCGCCAGAAAAGAGUUUGAUAAUCCCCAAGUGCAGGGAAUCAUCGUAGCAAUUCCCAAUGGUGGAAGUGAUAACACUACAAAAAAAAUACACUUCCGUGAUGAUACGUGUUUGUCACAGUAGGUCGCGUUUUUUGUCAUGCAUGUACAUCCAUGACGAUUUUAUGACAGAAUCAAGAUAGUCAUACAUGUGCUGUCGUAGAAGUGUUCCAUGACAUUACCAAAAUUAUCAUCACGGAAGUGUCCACUUCCAUGAUGAUAAAUCGCGCGUCACAGAAGUGCUUUCAUCAAGGGUGACCGACACGUGGCAUCCACCGUAACGGAACGCCGUUAAGCUAUCGGGUCGGGUUUUGGAUCCGAUAACCCGUUAGCAGCCCCGACCAAUGGGAAAUUUCCACAUGUAAAAUUCUUAUUGGCCGGACGAAACACGUGUCAGCUCGUCAGUGGGUCAGAUAGGCGCCUAUGAUAUGUCGACACGUGCCAUGGCUCACCACUGGCCCAUUUAGCUUACAAAGCCGGCCCGUUUGACUUGGUCAAAAGUUAACAGGCUGGCCCAUGAAAAGCCUGUUAACGGUCUCUUCGCAAAUAGCCCAUUUUACGGCCCGUUAACUCACGGCCCGUUAGGCCCUAAAGGAAAUCGGCCCAACAACGUCAUGUGGGCCGUCGAAUAUAACACCAGCCCAUUUCACUUUCGGCCCAUGUAUGGCCCAUGAUGUCUUUCGGCCCAUAUGAGGCCUUCGUAUCUUUCGGCCCUUUACAGGCCCACGGUGACUCUAGCCCAUAAUGAACAGUAAUUUUCUUUAUACCCGUUAACGACCCGUGAUUUACAUGGGCCGUUUCUAGCCCGUGUUAGCUUUCGGCCUAUUGACGGCCCAUACGUUCUUGGGCUCCUUUUCGGCCCUCGAUUACUUCCGGCCCGUUACUGGCAUGUUCCCCUAAUGGGCCAAAUUUGGCCCAUGGCAAGAGUCGGCCCGUUACUGGCCUGUUCCCCUAAUGGGCCAAAUUCGGCCCAUGGCAAGAGUCGGUCCGUUACUGGCCUGUUACCCUAAUGGGCCAAAUUCGGCCCAUGGCAAGAGUCGGCCCAUUUCUGGCCUGUUAACCCGUUGCGCUGUUUCCAGCCCGUCCUAUAUUCUGGCCCAUUAACGACCCGUUAUGCCUGUGACAGAAUUAAGCCUUUGCUGUCCUACGGCCUGUUACCGUGCUGGGCCGAUACCAAUUACGCCCGAUUACGGCCCAUGUAGACCCAUUUAUCCGACGGCCCGAGGCCCACCGAUUACAGGCCCAUUUAUCGACGGCCCGUAGGAGACCCAUGGAUCCUACGGCUCGUAUAUGGCCCAUGGUAGUUGCGGCCACUAGCAAACCAGGGAAAAAGAAGACUAGGAAAUAAAUAAGGCCGAAACUAACGCUAGGCUAUUAAGGCGAUUGCACAGAUUACAUCCACUCGGCAUCAAAGAUCGCCACCAGUGCAAAUAUAGGGAACACCCUACACUAUACAAAAAUGGCUUGCUAUUUUCUUCAGCCGGUGGCUGCACGUUAAGAAUAAAUUUUGUAUCGCACCAAAACAAAUUACAACUAUAUAACAAAAGGAAGGUUGGCAUAAAACUUAACAGUCUAGCAGAUAAAUGCACCACCAGAAGUUCAGAAGCUUAGUUCAUUUGACCUGACUGUUACGUUUUCAUGCUGUAUUGUCCGAUGGAGCACCAUAACCCUCGCCUUCAUUUCCCCUAGGCUCCUGAACAACAUAGCAAAUGUCUGAUAGUCUGGUUUCAAAACCAUGCAUAUCUUGAAGACAUUGAGCAAUGUUUCUCCUUGUUUCACAAAGGGUCUCUGUUAGGGAAUGGACUUGUGUCUGGAGCGCAGAUACAACAUUGCUUUGAGCUUGCAUAUCUUGAUCAUGAGGCAGUUUGGACGAUAUUGCCUUAACAACCAACCCAGUAUUACGCAGGAACGUGCUUUUGGCACUGUUAGUGGAUAGGUACUGACCCACUGCAGCAAGAGCUGACAUUGCGGUUAUAGUUGCCUCGCCACCUUCAGAAGGUGGCGGUUCGACCAUUUUUUCCAUAGCUUGCUGAAAAGUUGAGGUUUUACAUUAGUAGUACCAGAACAGAAGAUAUUAAGGAGGCAGCAAAACCAAACAAAAUAGCUUUGGUCUAUAUACAGAACUUAUUCUGGUGAACCCAUGUAAAAUAUUAGUUGUAUUUUAUUGCAGAGUACAUAAUAAAACCAGGUUCCAAACAUAUGACCAUGUACCAUCGCUAAUGUAUUGUCUAUUUCUUCACAUUUUAUUGAGGGCUAAGGAUAAAGAGACGAAGUUUAUAAUACGAUAAGCAUAGUAUGACAUCAUUCAUAUCACAAAACAACUGAGAACAGACAAACAGGCAAUUGUAACGUUGUGUGGGCAAGUCCAGCAUGGAACUAGAUUACGGGUCAAGAUCAAAGGAACAUCACUCCUCUCUUUUAAACCUUGUAAGGUGCAAUGAUACGCUAAGACAAUUGUGUAUAAAAUUGAAAAGAGUAAUAGACAUUGGCUGCAAACCAUGCAGUUCAAGGCACAAGUUAGAGUAAGUAGUAGUAAAAGGCAUGAGGAUUAAGGACUUACAACAGCGGCUUUGACUGGUGUAGUCAUGCCCUUCUUCUUGCUGGUGUGACAGUCCUUGAAGAUUUCCACAGCAUUUGGUUCAGGUACUUUUUGGUCCUUGCGGACUUUCCUCUGCAUUUCGAACAAGUCAAUAUAGAUCUGAUAAUAUGGUAUAGCGAAAAGAGUGAAACAGCAGCUAAUUACAAGAGCCUCGCAGUGUGCAAUAUAGCUACGAGAUCCUGUCGUCUAUUGGAAUUGCACUUUCGUACGGUUGGCAUUGUUCUUUGAACAGUUCACCUACAAGAAGAUAGAUUUGUGUGGCACAUGCGUAAAUAGGACUUCAACAUGUGAUCUGAUCACAUAUAUAUAUAAUGUACCUGAUACUUCGGAUCAGACCAGUGUUUAACAAGGCCCCUCCAGUCUUCAUCCGAUAUAUUUUCCACUGGAGAUGUUUGGGAAAGUUCACUGUUAGCCUUGCCUUCAAAGUGAGUUUUCCUCAAGUUAUACCGAUACUGUCGCAGAGCAGACUUGAAAACAUGGGUGCAAGCCUGUCUGGUUGCAUCAUCUUGGCUAUCCAACUUGAACCUCAUGUGUUGAAAAUUAUGGGAGUAUCAUUAUCAGCAACCUAGAAAGUAUGGGACAAAGCAAGACGAUAUUACUAGUUUCCAUACAUAACCAUACUUACAGAUAAAUGGUCGUGUUGAACUGGGUUUUGUCUUUGUCAUUCCUGUACUGAAUCCAUGUUGGGAGGAUACGUACAUGACACCUAACGGCAACCGCUGCCUCUGAUACUAACUUGGCUGACUCUGUAGCAUCAUGUGGCCUUUUUAAACCUGCCUCAAAACGGAUCUCCAUUCUUCCUCCUCUAGAUUUAGUUAACCUAUCGAGCAUUAUCCCUGAUGUUUGUUUCCUCUUGCGCCUAGGUGCUAGUCCAACAACGAACAUAGGAAGUGUUAGUGUACACCAAACUGUGAGACUACAUAUAAAGAAGCAUGCAACUGUAACUUGACUCCAGCAACUACCUUCUUGCUGUUGAAGCUCACAAGGUUCAUCUGAUAUUGCCAACUCGUCUUGUGUCAAGAGUGCUUGGGAAGUAGUGUCAGGUGGCAAGGGAGCUUGGGAUCUGAUACUGACGCACGCAACACUCACACGUACACACGCAGCCACGCACGCACGCAACACUCACACGCACACAUGCAACACUCACACGCACACAUGCAUGCACACACCAGUACACCACACGACCAACACACACUCUCACGCUCAAGUGCUCAACCUACACGUGCAUGCGCACACAUCAGGCCCUGAUAGACACAAACACAACCAGGUGAUUCCCGCGCACGGGUUGGAGCGUAAAUUUGUGUUUAUCUGACCUUUUGCCUAUGCAAACUGACAGGUGGGACCCACAAGGAACAUGGUCAAUUUAACUAGUCAACAUGGCGCCACGCAGACUAUUUGGCCGGUCAACAGAGUGCAAUCCGAUGCUGAAUUGUGAGCAAGUGACCGUAUAAUCACCGCAAAACGUAUAUAGUGACCUUAAUCACCUUAUUCUGAAGUUCGGUGACCGUAUUACGCUUUUCUCUCUGUAGGCCCUCCAAAACUACAUCUCUUCACGUUCUCGCAUGUUACAUCUAACAACUAUGCAAUACAGCACUACUACUACACUCUAACACAAUAAAUCAUAUGUGUUUUUAGUUUUACUAGAUAUCAUAUUGUUACUUAUAAUUAUUCAGUUUGCAUACAUUAAAAUUGCCUUUGAAAUGUAUGGCCAGUAUCAUCUACCGCGCGGGAAAAAUCCCGCCCUUUCCUGUUUAAUCGGGUUUGUAUCGAUGGAUCGUGCGAAAUAGCAAAACUAUAGUACUAUACAGUACUACAAGUGACAGUUCACUGGGCCGUCGUGUCGUCUAUUCCUCCGUCGUAAGAGUGGAGCGCUCGCUUUCAUAAAUCUUCUAGUCCCUUUCGCCGACAUGUGGGACAUCAAGCUACCGGGUACACGUGCCAUACCGGAAUACAGUGCAGAGCAGCCGGGGUGAAGCACCCCAGUCAUGGCGCCGGCGUAGUAAUGAGCAAUGAGGCGUCAAAUCACAAGCUUCACCUUUCCCGCAGUUAAGUUGGAGGGACGAAGCAACCAUCAUUUCACUCGUUGCUGAAUCCGCUUCUGCCUCAUCUUCUUCAACUUAACCACGUGUUGCUUCUGCCGUUGUUCUGCCUCAUGUGGGACGCGGAUCGGCUUGGUAAAGCACUGACACGUGGGACCGCAUGUUAGCAAACCGCCAGGACAACGUCCUCCGAAAAUAAGAACCCUAAUCCUAGACUUACAAAGGGCUACGUAGCUUCUACGUAUACUUUCCAUCUAAUCUAUAUAUGCCCCCCUGAUUUUUAGGUGGGGUGGGCCUAAUCCUCUCCUUUAAUCCAAUCAAAUAGUCCCACAUCACAUCAGUUCAUAACUUUACGUAAACCAUUACGUGGAUGUAGCAUUGCUCAAAUAAGAAACCUCCCCCGCCAUCCGCACGGCAAAAUCACCUCCUUUUUACUAAUCUUGAUUCUAUAAUUUUUUAGAUCAAUAUAAUUGAGAUUUGUAUAGAUAGCACACAGAAGCAAAACCAAGUGGUACGGUUAAGGGCAUCCACAAUGUGUAGCCAAAUGGGAAAAUAGCUUUUGGCAUCGUGGGAACCAUUGUGGACGGUGUUGCCAAAGCAAAAAAGAUGGAACCGAAGCUCCCUGAUUGAUUGAUUGAAGGAAUAGAAAAAUGCUUGGACGCAUGUAGUACAAUAUAGAGCACAGAGUCUACUCCCCUAUCCCUUCUAUCACAAAUCACAAAGCAGUGAGGCGUCAAAUCACAAAAGCACGGACGAAGCAACCAUCAUUUCACUCUUCGCUGACUCCGCUUCUCCAUCGUCUUCUUCGAGAAACCAUCUCACCGCACUAGUACUCCUAGUAGUACUAGUAAAGGACUUCCUGGAUGCAAAUAAGGUGGUUGUCUCGGCUUGCAGGCGGCACUUGCGAACGACUUACCGUGGUCUCCCUCAAUGGUGUUCUUCGUCGAACGCACUUCGCCAAACCACCCAAAAAAAGAUAUCGUCGACGUCACCGCAAUGGGGAAGGAAGUCAAAUAUAGUUACUACCUCCAUUUUUUUGUACACAAGGCCAGUAUAUCAAAAUUACAAUUUGCAAAGGGCCACUAACACUAAUCGAGGCAAAAUUGAUGGGGUUAGCAACCAAGGACAUUAAUAUCCCCUGCAUGCAUGCGGAAGUGAGAAGGUUGGUUUGCAUGGCCCUGCAUUAAUCAAGCGAUGAGGAGUGAGAUGGUUAGCUCUUUGGUCUUUGGAGAAAAAAUAUGCAUUAAUUGACACAUGAAACGAGGAUUUGUAUCGAUUAAAUCCCGCGAAGGAAAACCCCGCCUUUCUUUUUUAACACUAGUACUCCUAGUACGUACGUACUUAUCCUGUUUGGGUCUAGGCCUUGCAUUGCCAAACUUCGCCACACAUUUUUGCCAAGCUUGCCUAAAGUUCUCAAAAUGAGAAGGAGGUACACUUGCGCACGGCUGUCGCGGUCGCACCGCACCCUCACACGGUCGCUCCUGCAUGCCGGGGUCGCACCACACCCUCACACAGUCGCUCCUGCACGCCGCAAACCCAACCAAGGGAACGCACCCCCACUGACACGUGCUGUCGCAUGUGAACAAACCAAACUCAGCCAUCCUAUCGCUGACACAUAAUUUUCGUUCAUAGAGUAUGUUUAUCCAACUGCAUGUUGGGGAGUAUCCGUACGGCCCAUGCGGUGGUCUGUUGGGGAAGAAGAAGAGGUGAGGAAGAAGGAAAGAAGGGUUAGGAGACGUAGGAUAUUCAUCCAACCGCCUGAAAUGGUAGACUGACCCAAGUCAGGCGACUUGCAUAACAAAUAUAUGUUUUUACACAGCAAAAGAUCCAUAAAAACAACAACAUAAAGAAAAACUAUCACUGCUCGCGGAAAGAGACGGCCUCGUCGUCUUUGGCUGCCGGCGCGAACCAGCCGUCACUGCCGACGUGUGUCUCCGCACCGUGGUUGUCCUCGGCCUCCAGCUACUCGUUCAAGCGGAGCGUGUGGGCACUCUGCACGGACGAGAGCACAGCCCGGUUCAAGUCGACGACGUCCGGUUCCGCCUGCAGGAGGGCCUCGAUGGCAGCGGCAUCCGCGCGCUCCGCGUCGAGUCGAGCCUCCGCCGCUCGGUUCAAGUCCAGGAUGUCCGGUUCCGCCUGCACGAGGGCGUCGAUGAGAGCGGCAUCCGCGCGCUCUGCGUCGAGUCGAGCCUCUGCCGGCUGGUUCAAGUCCAGGACGUCCGGUUCCGCCUGCAGGAGGGCCUCGAUGGCAGCGGCAUCCGCGCGCUCCGCCUCAAGUUGAGCCUCCGCCGCCCGGUUCACAUCCACGGCAUCCGGUUCCGCCUGCAGGAGAGCCUCGAUGGCAGCGGCAUGCGCGCGCUCCAUGUCGAGUUGAGCCUCUGCCUCCCGGUCCUCCUUUAGUAUCGCCAUGUUGAACCGCUGGUCCGCCUGCACCAUGGGGGACUCGGACGCCGGCACGAAGUCGGCGUCCAUCGUCUCAUACCCAUCAGGGGCCUUCUGCGCCGCGACCUCCGCCAUGAACAUUGGAUUGGCUUCCUCCUCCUCGUAGCUUGGCUCUAAGAACUCGGGGAUUGGCCCACCGCAAAGCGAGCUUGGGAACGGAGGUCUGUGGCGCCGACCGCUGCCGCGAUUUCUGCGUGGCGCUCCGGCGUCAGCAUCUUGCGGUGCACCAUGGCUUUCCGGCGAACUAGGGGACGCUUGAUGCGGGCUAGGGGAUCGAAAGGUGGGGGAAUGGGCUGGAGAUUUGGUGUGGUUUUAGGACAGUUGCUGGCGUAGGCCGAGCAGCGAAGGUUCUGGUGUGAAUAGUGGUUCCGGUGACGACCGGUCAAUCUGUUUUGACUGUACAUCGCUCUUGUCGCGUUCGCGUUGCAGCCCGGCACGCUGGACCCUCCAUGUCACUCACCGAAUGGAACGCGCUUCAUCUUGCGUUUUCGCUCGCUUGUGGGACCACAGUUGAGAGCAAACCGACGUCCCUCCCCCUCCCCCGCCCGCGUCAUUUAUUAUACCACCACUCCCUCCGUUUUAUGCGGAGUAAAUAAAAACAGAGGGAGUAUACUAUAGAUGAGGAUCCCCUGAUGUGGCCGAACCCAUUGAGUAACUGACAUGCGGGGCCUAGCAAGCAUGGGGUCCGCCAGUAAGUGACCGAAAGGGAGGGUAAGGCAGGGAUACCUACGUCAGAGGAUCCACUUCCACUAUACUACUUUGACCAAAUGUUAGAGUAAUAAUAUAUGACAUGCAACUUACACAAAUGUUAGAGUAAUAAUAUAUGACAUGCAACUUACACAAAGCAUACAUGGUCUAAUGCGUUUUUCGAGGCUAACUUUGACCAAAUGUUAGAGUAAUAAUAUAUGACAUGCAACUUAACACAAAGCAUACGGUCAAAUUCAUAUGUGAAAGGAGUUUCCAAUGAUAUAAUUUUCACAUUAUACAUCUCAUGUACUAUUAAUCUUGUCAAUAGUCAAAUUGGAAACCAUCUCGAGUACAAAUCUAGGAGUACGUACGAAUCUAACAAUAUUGAUUGGGCGUUGUUGAAUGUUGAUACCUUUUUUAUCAAAGUAGAGAUACUUUGAAUACACAUAAAACUUAUAUGUAAGCUAGAAAGGAUAGGGGGAGUAUAUUGUACAUUCAAAAACGAAACGAACAUUGAAUACCCUUUAUAUAUGAUUUGCGGAUGCUAUGAUCACCGGUUCAAAAUUUUGAAUACGCCUUAGGUAUCACGUGCCCCCACUCGUUCCCUCUCGAUUUCAUCUCGGGGUCCGGAGAUCUAUUGAAAGAGGACUAGGGUGGGUACAUGCGAAUGAUACUCGGCGGAAUGUUCAAAUGAGGCAUGCGGGAGGAUGGACUCGACUGGAGGGCGACAUGAUCGAUGGAGAAGAGGGUUGGAGAGGAAUGAGAAAUAAGCAAACGCUACAUGAUUAUACUUGAACGGCUCAAAUAAACAAUAAGUUGUCUCGCUUGGCCUACAUAGUGAAAGGCCUAAUGAGCAACGUGGAGCACUGACGCUCGAAUAUGGCCGGGAAAAUAGGGAAACUGACAUGUGGGGCACACCCGUCGGGACGACGUAGCGCAGACUAGUCCAAUGGAGGAGCUGGCCCACGACCUCCUCGCCACCGACAACCGUUCAUGUGGGUCGUUGGGGCCAACAACGGGGCGCGGCUCCAGCACCGCCUCUGGACACGGCGACCCGGUGAGCGACAUGCUCAUAUCGUCGCUAGACACGGUCGGUUUCAGUGUGCCGAGGGUGGCGUUAGUGCUGUGGCACGACCAACGGUAUGUUUGGUUUGUGCCCAAGGUUGCCCCAUCAAAGCAUUGGGUAGCCAAAAUUUUGGUUGAGGUAUUGGUUGCCCAUGAUUUGGCCGACAUUGGCAAGAAAAAUGAACUAGAGUUGGCUAGAGUUCAUUGGCAUGCCAAAGAAAUGGCAACCAUACAAACAAAGACCAAUCUUUGGGUCAUGACCAAAAUUUUGGUUGAGGUAUUGGUUGCCCAUGAUUUGGCCGACAUUGGCAAGAAAAAUGAACUAGAGUUGGCUAGAGUUCAUUGGCAUGCCAAAAAAAUGGCAACCAUCCAAACAAAGACCAAUCUUUCGGUCAUGACCAAAAUUUUGGUAAGGUGCACUUUGGCCACAAUCCAAACACACCCCAACACCCGGCUCGUCGAGGAUGCACGGGGCGCCGCGACGCGUCCGCGGAGUGGUGUAGCGCGGCCAACUGCAUCCUCUGGACCUGAGACCAUGCCGGGUCGUCUUGUUUUUCAAUGACAUGCGGGGAUCGCAUGUGAGCAAAGGGCAUCUCCAACGUUGCCACGACCGCAGCUAACUACCCUGGCACACCAAAACCCUCGUCCCUCGCGCCGUCGCGCGGUGUGUUCUCAGCCGGCGCCAGCCGCCCGCAUUCAUGCCGUCCAUUCAUAUGUCGUCGUUAAGAGGCUCGGUGCCCGAGGAACCAACUCCGGCGACUUAAUGACGCACCCGGACGCUUGGCCUCACCAGAAUGCGCUACUUAAAGCGGCAAUGCCCAGCUAACCUCCACACCAUAGCGCAUCGUCCUCCUACCUGGCACCACAUCCGCCAUGACCGCAAGUGCGAACGCUCUACGGGAGAGCUUGUCUUCAGGGAUGAAGCUCGAGGUCGCCGCCCUCGCUCAAGUCGCCUCUCGCAAUGUAAUAGCGGCGUAGCCGGACGCGGACGCGACCGCACAAGCAGUGGCCACGCUGGCGGCCGACGACGGGAGCACGUCAGCCACGUGUCCUACUUGCCGCCAUCCAACGUCCGGCACCGCCGAGGUCGGGGACUCCUCUGAGGAUGAGUAGGGCAUGGGAGGCGGCAGGGCAUGGCGUGCCAACUGGCUGGUCUGUAUCCCGUGUUCUACUCUUCCUCGCCGGAGACCGCACCUUCACUUCACGGGUCUUGAACCCCGCCCCCGUACAUAGAGAUCGCAGAUGGAGGACGUCGAUCGCCGCCGUAGAAUAGGUUUAGGGUCGGGUUUCUUUUAUUUUUCUGUCCUAUAAAAGUUCGAAAUGUAAUGAAAAUCUGCCGUGUUUGCAUUAAUCUCGGCCGGUGUAUAUGAACUUUCACAAUAAUAUACAUGGUGGUGGGCCCCUCCCUCCCCCCAAUCUACAAUCAACAGCUCACACGUUUCACAUUACGUUAAUUACGUAACUGGGAUUACGUAGGUGUAGCAUUACUCGUCCUAAAAAACCCAACUAAGCCAACCUCCCAGCAUAUCGAGCGGGAAAAGACC